This 66992-nucleotide long non-coding RNA is filed under the name Citrus x clementina. Its description in RNAcentral is "Citrus clementina (C. clementina) long non-coding RNA (CCLE_LNC001057)". The record is from RNAcentral. Lineage: Eukaryota; Viridiplantae; Streptophyta; Magnoliopsida; Sapindales; Rutaceae.
ACCUUCAAUUCUGACCAUCUCGUGAUCAAGUUCUUUCCUAAGUCUAAAUUUUGAAGCUUCUUAUUAAAAGCCAACUCGGCCGGAAGAGUAUAGCCAAUUCAGAGAGUGAGACAGAGAAAGACAACAUAAGAAAUGAACAAAAUAUCAAUCAUGAUAUUAACAAAAAAAAAAAAAUUAUGAAUUUGAGGAUAGCCUGCUAUCAUAAAAUGACCACUGGGUACAUGAUAUACCUUAAUGUCAUUGUCAGAAAGUCGGAGUUCUUUCAAUUCUGUGCAAGACUUGAGCGAAGAACCAAUAAUCUGGACUUGGCAGUUUGAGAGAGAGAGCUGGAACCAAUCUUGAUUAACAGCCUUAGCAACAGUCUUUCAAAAUAAUAGCUAACGGCAAUUAAUGACCAAAGCAUUGCUUACCUUUGUAAUAGCUUUCAUAUUGAGCAGAGAAUCGCCAAUUUUGCGAAUUGGAUUUCGAGAAAGAACUGCUUGAGAAACAAACAUUUAUCCCAAGAAUCAACUUGAAUUCCAAUAAUGCUUUGAUCUGAACACAGUAUCAUCAAUCACGAACAUGCAAAAUCAAAAAGAAUUGCACACAAGUUUGCCAUCUCCUCAAAAUCAAACAGGUUUGCUCUCUACUCAAAAGUCUUUCGACCAUGCCUUAACCAACCACUCCUUUAAACCAAAUCCUAGAACAAGUAAAAUUUAUAGAGUUAAAAAUUAUUGACUCUAAGAAAAAUGUAAUUGUUACUUCUCUAAGAAUUACAGCUCUUAUUCCUCUCCCAUUCUCGCCAAAGUUCUAUAUAGACAACACCACUUGAACAAAGAUAGGCUAGAGCAUGUAAUGUCAAUCUACUAACAAACAUCAGCCAAGCAGGGACGGAGCCAGCGUGGGACGAGGUGGGGCACAGGCCCCAGCUGGCUUUUAAUUUUUUUUUUUGAUAAUUAUACUAAAAAUAUGUAUUUUAUUUAUUAUUUAUGAAAAAUACCCCAGCUGAAAUGUAAAAUUUGAAAUUGACUCUAGUAAUUUUAAAAUAUUUCAUAUUGUCCCUAAUUUAAAUUUUUUAUUAUAAAUUAUUUAAUUAGUUAUUAACAUUUCAUGAAACUUUAUUAAAGACACGAGAACAAAUAUUAAAAUAAAAAAUCUUCAUAACAAAAUGUUAGUAUAAUGGUUAAUGGACCAGUUUUUAAUCUUUUUAUUUUUUAUUCAAGUAAAAUUAAUUAUUUAGUCUUUCAACACUGACCAUAAGUUGUAAGUCUACCUAAUUCUAAUUUAUAAUUUUCUAAUUAAUCUUUUGUCUAGUUUUAAAAUUUAUAAUUUUAUCAUGCAUUUCAUAUUUGUUCUAUGUGUUGCAAUAUAUGAAUAUUUUUGUUAUUAUUAAAAGAUUUUAAGAGCAAAUUAAGUAAUAACCUAGUCUUGUAUAUUGAAAAAUAUAUUUUUGCUUAUAUUGAUAAUUCAUUAUUUUCAACUCAUAAAAUCCCAUUGAGGAGAUUUCACGGAGAACCAUUGUAAUAAGUAAAUUUAUUAUCAAUUAAUAUUAUAGUUGUAAUGCUAUAUAUUGAUAUCUAAUUUUAAAAAAUGUAUUAUACUUUAAAUAGGGUUUCAAUUAGAUACAUACAGACGCACUCUAUAAGAAGUACAAUUGUACAUGUAGCAAGCUCCCAUUUAGAGUUUAUGGGGCCCACAAUACAAUUUCUCAAAUGACGACUUAUCACACGAGCAAUCGUACAUUCGAGUCAUGUUUGAUUUUAAAUGUGCCCCGGCUCUAUCAAAAUCCUGGCUACGUCCCUGCAGCCAAGGAACAGAUUUUAUCAAACACAAUGAAGUGUGAACAUGAAGAAAUAAGAAUCUGUGCCAAGAGUGUUCAAUUCCUUCAUCUGAUCAAGUUUGCAUAUCGAAACAAUCUCAUUGUCUGCACAACCCCCCCCCAAAAGAAAAAAAGGUUAAAAAACGAACUGAUUUCCAUAUUUUAUAUCACCAACUUACAAAAAGGGUGCUGCAAUUAGGGUCUAAAUCUCACCAUUCAGAAUUAAAGCACAUAAGCUGACGACAGACAUCACCUCAUCCAUCGAUCUAAGCUUAUUUUUGCCCGCAUUCAACACCUGAAUUUCAAAGACAGAACAAGGUGAAUUUAAAUAAUCCAAUUAGCUCAUCAUUUCCAAACCUAAACUACUUCAAACAACUAGUUUAGAUCGAGCAAGUGUCCCAAUGGACAAUAAUAACAAACGGAUAAAAGAUUUCAACCAAAUCGCCAGAAACAAUAAGCAUUGAAACCUUCUCAUGGGAAAACAAGAAUCUCUCACAAGCAACCAUUUAAAAGUGUACAAAAUGUAAAAUAUCACGAACAAAGCAAGGGAAUGACACUUACAGUGAGCUUAGAGAGUCCUUCGAUUCCUUUUAAGCUUUGCAAUUUGUUUUGCACAACUGAUAGCCACUUCAAAUUCACGCAAUGCCUCAACCCCUUCAAAUAAAAUUAAAAAAAAUGAAAUUUCAUGCCAAGAAAUGAUAAAGCCGUAAAUUUGUUACUGGGUGUUGGGGAAAUGAAUGAAUGGUAGGCACCUCAAGAGAAGUGAGGUUGUUGGAGCUAAGGUCGAGUCCAAGUUGUUGAAAUCGGUCAAGCAAGAGACGCCAGAGAGAGCUUUGUGAGUGAGAGUCAGAGAUUUUAUGGAAUUGGGAUCGCCAGUAUUGUUGUCCUUCAAAAUUUGCUCGGUGCUCAGUCGUGUCAUGAUUUGGCUUCUUCGGUUUAGUCCUUGAGAAUUAGCAAAACCCUAGCUUUGAAUGUCUCUGCUUCCAGGGUUUAUCUCUAGACUCUCAGGCAGGGUUUGUACCGUACUCGUUUGAGUCAACCGACACGUCGUUUCAAUGUAAUUCUUUUUUCAGACCUGAAGGAGUUCAUAUUAGUGAAAUUUGUGAUCCAAUUGUUAGGUCAAGUCACAAAAAUAGCUCAACUUUUCUCUCUCUCUCUCUCUUUUUUUCCCUGAGCCGGAUCACAAUGCCCAAAAAUAUGUUUGUUAUAUAUUUUUCCUUUAAUUAGGUUUGAAUGGAAAGAAGAAACCUCCCUGUUAAAUAUCAAACUCUUAAACCUUUUAUUACUAAUUGAAUUUGAGUCAUUUUGAGCGCAAAAGGCAUUCACAAUCAGUCGAUCUCUGCCUAAAAUCAUCUAUGUUAUAUUAACUGUAUAUAGUUCAAAUAGUCUAUCACACACAGUCACUUAGUCAUAAACAAUUUAGUUUUUUCAUCUCUUUAUCACUGGCACCGAACACCAUUUUCUUCACUCAUUCAAGAAAAUGUUUAGGCGUGUUUGGAAUAUUGUGAGACUUUUUUUUUUUUUUUUCUAAAAUACAAAUUUAAUUUAGAGAAAAUAUUUGUAAAUUAUCUAAAACAGUUCUUCAUUAGCAAUGUCGGAUGGACUAAUGAAUGGACAACUCUUAUUUUUUACCCUCUAAAACGAAGAAACAUAAAUUUUAUGUAGAGAUUGGACUGUGAAAUCAAUAGCCCUCUCGUUGAGUCCUUUUGCUUAAAUUCAUUUAAUCUCGACACCUGCUUAGGUGAUCUAAAUGCUGAAACAUGGUGAAAAAAUAGUGCAAUUUCGGAGGGCUCCAAUGUCCAAUUCUUUCCUUUUAUUGUAAUGAUCGAGUGACAUUGCAUCCUGGACCCCAAGUACAUAAUAUAACAAACAUACAGUCACGGAAAAAUCUAGUAAUAUCUUCUUACAAAGCAGCCAAAUUCAUCCAUAAAGCCAUCCAAAAAAUGACAGUACUUGUACCUCCAUCUUCUGCUGACAAGUAGAGGACCUAUGAAACACCAAAACCCCACUACAAAUCCAAGUGCCACGCUUACAUACAACAACCAGUCCACUUCGUCUUCAUCUUCGUUUCCAUUUCCAUUUGGAUCUUCAGGUACAAGAGGAUUAUUCCCAGUACAAUUAGGAAGUGGAGCUCCGCAUAGAUUGUUGCCGGCAAAACAGGAUGAAUCUAAGCUUUGCAAUUGAGUGCUUGAAGGAAUUUUCCCAGUCAAGUGAUUGUUGGACAAGUUCAGGUGAUUUAAAAAUGACAAACUUGACAUACUUUGGGGAAUUUCACCAGAAAGUUGGUUCGCUGAGAAAUCGAGGGACUCAAUUGAUUUCAUAUUACCAAUUUUCUCAGGAAUUUUUCUGCUGAAAAAAUUGUGGGACAAAUUCAGUGAUUGCAGUCCUUUAAGAUUUGUCAGUUCCAUAGGUAUUUCUCCCGAGAAAUUAUUCUUCGAAAUGUCUAUGCUUCUUACCAAAUUCAGAAUGGAGUCAUAUUCAACCAUAAACCCCUUCGUCACAACUGAUGCAUCCAGCGCAGCUUCAGUCCCAUCCAUCAUUGUAACGUAAGAUAUGGCAUUCUGUAGAUUAGAUGAGUCCGUCGUCGCCAUAGCAGUGAAGUUACUGAUGCAUCUGGGUAUGGUUCCCGAGAGAUUGUUGUUUGCAACAUCCAAAAUUUGUAAAGAAGUUAGACGACAAAGUUGAAUUGGCAAAUAGCCGUGAAACUUGUUUGAUCGAAGAAUGAGUAUCGACAAUCCAGAAAAUCUCUCCCCCAUCCAUGUUGGGAUGUUCCCGACAAACUCAUUUUCAUCCAUGUCAAGAUAUACCAAACCUGAACAAUUUUGAAAUGACGCAGGAAUGACUCCAGACAAUCUAUUAUUGCGCAGGUUCAAUGACCAAAGAAAACUUAAAGUUCCAAUUGAAGCCGGAAGACUACCAGUAAGGUUAUUGUUACCUAAAUUCAGCAUACCCAAGCCAGGCCAAUUCAUCCAACAAUCAGGUAUAUCCCCAGAAAAGUAAUUUUUCGAGAGUUGGAGAUAAGAAAUGCUCUUUAACCCAUUACAUAUUAAAUGAAAAAUGGACCCCGAAAAACCAUUAUUAGAAAAAUCAAGUAUGCCAGAUGAGGGAGGUAGAAGAGGCGAUGGACGGUUAUCAAAAUCUAAAUUUGGAAUCUCACCGUAGAUUUGGUUGCUGGAGAGAUUCAAAUACUUAUAUUGGGAAAUGGAAUUCCAAAACCAACGAGGAAUAGUAUCAGAAAUUCUUGUGUUGGAUAUGUCCAAAUCAGACAAAUGCUUUUGUGAAUGAAGCCACGAUGGAAAAUGAGGCCCUAAAUGACAUGACCUCAAUUGCAAUGUAUCGAGUUGAAAAGGAGGAACCCAGUUUGGAUUGACUUGCAAGAUUAGCGGGUUACCAGAUGUAGAAAAUGAAGUCAGUUUUGUUAGAUUGACAAAAUGAUUUUCAGAAAGUGUUCGACUCAUCCUAUUGUUGGAAAAAUCUAGAUAUUCUAAAUGUGAAAAUUUUCCCAAAGACAAUGGAAUAGAACCAUUCAACAAGUUGUUGGACAAAUCUAGAUAUUCUAAGCUUAAAAUUUGUCCUAGAGACAAUGGAAUGGAACCAUUCAGACUGUUUCUGGAAAGAUCUAGAUAUGUCAAAUACGUAAGUUCUCCUAAAGCAGAUGGAAGUGGACCUGAAAGAGAGUUGUUACGUAGUUGAAGUUUGUUCAAACUUUUAAAUUGCCCAAGUUGAUUUGUCAAGUGACCUGAAAAUUGACAACUCCUCAAAACUAGUGACUCUAGUACAUGUGCACCACAUGCAGAGAAAAUAUCUAAAACUUCUGAUAAGUCUUGACUCAAUUUGACAAACGACAGAUCGAUUGAUGUCAACUUACAAAGCCGUACAAACGAUGUUGGAAUCUUCCCUGCAAGAUCAUAAUUUAAGGAAAGGUCGAGAGUUUUGAUAGAAGUCAAGUUUUCUAGACCCAUCGAUGAAAUUGUGCCUAGCAAGGAAUUAUGUUGAAGAGAAAGGAACUCAAUAUCAUUAAGCUUAGACAACCAACCAGGUAUUGCAGAAUUGAAUUCAUUAUAAGAUAAAUCAAGAUGCCUAAGAAACGUCAAGUUUCCUAGUCCGUUGGGGAUUUUACCUUGAAAUUGAUUACCGCUUAGAUCGAAAAAGACUAAAUUAUGAAGACCAAAAACCCAACUGCUAAAUUGAAACAAAGAGUUAUUAAAUUGGUUUUUGGAAAGAUCGAGGGUCUUAAGGGAGGAAAAAUUAGCAGAGGAUGACGGAGGAAAGUGAUGGAGUUCACAGUAGGACAACUUUAGUACUUUUAAAGAAGAGAGUGAGUUUGUGACAAGUAACCAAUCAGUGGCUUUGCUAAGGUCAGCGUCACUCAGAUCGAGGUGCUCUAGCAAAGAGAGACCAGAUAGCCAUGAAAAACUUUCAACUUGUGACUCAUAAUUCUCACUGAGAUCAAGAUAUUGAAGAUUAGAGAGAUUUCCAAGUUGGUAAGGAAUCACUCCUGCAAAUUUGGCUCUAGAGAGAUUCAGGUAUCUAAGGUUCUUAAGAGAACCAAGAUAUUUGGGAAUUUGAAUUCCAUGGAAAUCAUUUCCGCUUAAGUCCAAGUGAAUCAAAUGCGUUAAGUCAACCAAAGAGGGAUUUAUCUUACCAACCAGCUUUGACACCGUCCCAUAAUUAGGAUCAGGGUUUCCGAGGUUGAGCUGAAGGACAUGGCCAGUGAAGUUGUUACAAACAACACCAUCCCAUGCACAGCAAUCUCCAUCACCAAUAUUCCAAGAGGCAAGACGGUUUGAAGGAUCAUUGAGAUCUUGCUUCAACUUUAAAAGCGCUUGUCUCUCACUGUCUAUGCAAGCCACGUUAGAGUUGGCAAUGCAGAAGCUGAUGUUGAUCAUGGUAACUAAAGUAAACAACUCAAGAAAGAGAAGGGCAACAGAAACACUCAUGAUGGUUGAUGUCAUUGCUUUGGAUAGUGAUGAAUUAAUUAUGGGGAAAGGAAGUGUGCUUAUGAUGAGAAUGUUAUUAUAUUGCUUGAUAUUUAUAAUGUCCUCCGUUUGCCCAUAUGAUACGUUUGCAUCAAUCGAAUUUGGUACGUAAUAGUAUGCUUGAAAAGGAUUUAUGAUCUCAGUCUCACAUUUCUGCAAGAAAUUUCCGUGCUCGUUGCUUUGGAUCAUCAUCAAGUCUUCUAAGUCAUCAAUUAACUGCUUGCUGUGGCCCCCCCCCCGGGUGGAAUUUGAACUUGCAUUAUUACAGUGGGAGAUACAAACAAAGAAACCAAAAAAAAAAAAAAAAGAGUUUUAGAAAAGGAAUUGAAUGGUUAAAAUGAUAUACUUUAAAGUUUAGAGUAAUAGGCUAAUUAUGAAGUUUCAGAGUUUUAUGUUGAAUUUUUGUUAUAAGUUUCGUCUCAACUGCGAUGGUUAGGUUUUGAAUCAAAUACUUUACAAGGCGUUUCCAAGGCAGAAAACUGUUGAAACCCUGAGUCGAAAAGCAAUUGAUAUAGGUUUUGUAAUAGUUGUUUUCAUUUCUGUAGGACAAUAAAUAAACUCGUUUGAUUUGUUUUUUCACUUAAUCUCUAAAUUUAUUUCACCGGGUUAUCCGGAAAGUGUUUAGCUCGUGUGGUAGAUUUUGUCUCUCUGUUAAUUUGGGCCGACAAAAACUAAGGAAAUAGGAUCAGGAUCCGGUGCUCAGCUGAGUUUGUGCUGAGCACCAUAUCAAUGGUCAGAAAUUGCUUAAAGCCUAUAGAAGAUAAUUGCUAACCAUUGAUCGGGUGUUCAGCACAAACUCAGCUGAGCACUGGAUCUGUUUCCAAGAAAAUAUCAUGACCACCUCUUUCUCUUGUCGGCAAGAACUUUCGUGCUCAAUGCUUCGGGUCUUUAAAUUCUCAAUGUCAUUGAUGGCUCCUCCAGUGGACUUGCUUUUGGCAUUUUUAGUCAAGGGGGAAAAAAAGGUCUUGGCUAUUUUAUGGAAUUGAAUAAUCAUUAAAAUAUUUAAUUACUAGUAUAUUAUUAAUAUUUUAGAGGAAUUAAAAUUUAUUUUUUCAUCCCGAUAAUUCUUCCUAGCGAUGGUAGAAAGGCUCGACCCAACUAUUGGCCUGGCCAAAUUGAUCUAACCAUAAUUUUUAUGACUUUAGCCUCAGUUUAAGGAGUUAAUGACUGAGUUAGGGCUCAAAGAAUCAGACCCAAUGUCGGGCCUUAUCAAAAAACUUUGACCGAUCCUCAAAUGAAUUUUUAAAAUUAAAAAAAUAACACUUGAAAGUUAAACGUACAUACCACUCGUGGUCACAACUCACUCUACUAAUAUUUGUCCCUAUUUCAUAUUAAUUUAAUAUUUAAUAUUUGAUUUAUUUACUUGCUAAUUUGGUUAGAUUGUUACAUGUUAUAUUGUUGUUAAUGCUAAAUAAAAAAUUAAUUAAUUUAAUUCCUUACACCCAAAAUCAACAAAAAAUGGAACAAUAAUAAUACAAUAUAAUCUAUCUAUAUAUAUAUAUAUAUAUAAAGCUGAGACUUGAGAAGGUGAUGUGGCAUCACCAUUUCUCAUCUUUGUAUAUUCUCUAUUAUCUAAUAAAUAGAGAAAUUUUCUUUUAAAUAUAUAUAUAUAUAUAUAUAUAUAUAUAUAAAGUUGGGACUUGAGGAGGUGAUGUGGCAUCACCAUUUCUCAUCUUUGUAUAUUCUCUAUUAUCUAAUAAAUAGAGAAAUUUUCUUUUAAAUUUGGCUUUUUAUUUUCUCAUAAUUAAUUUGAUUGUUAUUACACAAUAACAAUUAUGUAAAGGUUUUAAUGAGGCAUAUUCUUUGUAAUGAACAUCCAAGGAGGAGUGUUAUGAAUUUAUUAAAAUAAAUGUAGAUGUUCAUAACAUAUAUCUCUUAGUCUCCCCACUAUCUCCCAUUAGCAACCUUUAACUUCCCUAUAACUCCCACUAUCUCAAAAUGAAUUAUGAUCCAUAAUUUUUCAUUAAUUUCAUGGAGUGAUUAUGUAACUAUAAAAAGAGAGCUCAUCUUUUUGUUUUGUACACACACAAUUGGAAUGAAUAAAAUCACUCUAUAAUAUAUUCUCUCAUUUAAUUCUUUAUCUUGCGUUACUUCUUUAUUUGUAUUGCUGAUUAAUAACUUUUUUUAUUUUUUAUAAGGCUGCCUCAUCUUAAAAAAAAAUUAAUUUAUAUUUUUUAUCAGUUUCAUCAAGUGUAAAAUAAAAUAAAAAAGAUAAUACUAAAUUUAUUUUUCAAAACCGCGUGAAGCGCAGUUCUAUUUUCUAGUUUAUAUUAUAUUUAAGAGCUUUCUAGUAGUAGUGGGGUUACGUUGCCGUGUUGUUUAAGCAAUUCAUUUGAUGGGAAGACCUUGACUUGGUGUCUUUGCUUUCCUUCGUGGAAAAUUUUAAGCCAAAAGCCAGCUUGACCCCCCAAAAGGGAAAGCUAGCUAAAAUUUGCGGAAAUUAAUGUUGGAAUAUUUUAUAGUGGCCCGUGUGCCACAUUAUAAGUUAGUAAUAAUUUAGGAUUUAAAUAAUAAAAUAAAUUAUGGGCUGAAAUUUUAAAAAUUAAUUGCCCACUUUGAUGGAAAGUAGGAAUUAUGGUUUUAUUAAAAUUGAUCCCCUCUCCACCCAAUAUAAAAAGGAUAUCACUUUAAUUUUCUCUCCAUCAUAAAGUAAAUCACUCUAUAGGGGUCAAGAGAGAUAAAUCAAUUUUGUUAAUUUUUAAUUCCUUACAGUGAUAUUUUAUCAAAAAAAAUUCUCAUGGAUCUGGGUAUGUUUUCUCUUAAUUAUGAUGAUGUAAAAAUCAUGAUAUUUUAUAAUUUUAAGAAUUAAAGUUUAUGCAAAUUAGGAUUUAUUAGCUUUAUGAAAAUUAUAAAAAAUUCCAACAAUUAGUAUCAGCGCAAUAAUUAGAAUUCGUGAUUUUCAAUUAAAGAUUAUGGUGAUGUAUAUAUAUUUCCGCUGCAACGGCCGUAUGAAUUUUUCCUGCGAUUUAUGAAAUUGUGAACCAUUGUUCACGUGAAUUACUCAUGAAUCUAAUGGGCUUUUAUAUUUUAUUAUUAUUAUUAUUAUUGUUAUUUUUUUGUCAAGGUUUGACUAUAUCUCAAUUAUGCUUGGGCCAUGAAAGUUUUGUUUUAUGAAUUUGAUAUAGGCUUAUGAAUCUUAAGAACUUGGCCAUGACGAAUUAAUCUGACCAAACUUAUGAAUUAUAUGUCUGAUAUGUUUGAAACUAUUUGCAUAUUAUUGGCUUACAUGCAAUAUUAAUGAACUCAAGGAAUUUAUGUUCCUUUUCUUUAAUAUAUGAUUAUUAUUGUAAGUAUUUUGUAUGCCUAUUAUUUUUACAACAUUCGUCAUUAUAUGAUUUUGAUGUCUGUAUCAUAUUUAAUUUGUUAGUUACCGAAGUGGUUAGAUUAGAAAGUUUUCAUAGAUGUCAAAUCAAGUUCAAUUUCAAAUACUCAUAAUUAUUGUGAUGCUUAUGAUCGAAUGACAUGACAAUUUUCUUGUAUGGGUAUAUUAAAAUUAAUAAAUUAUAAAAUAUUUAAGAAUCGUCUAAAAGUUGAUUAAUUAAUUUUAUAUUCUAUGAUUAUGAUAUAAGUAAUUAAUUUGCUUGAUUAGAUAUGUUUAGUAUAUCUAAAGAUAGCAUAUAUAUCUAAUUAAUGUGUACUUGAUUACUAAUUAUGUGAAAUUAAAGUUAAGUAUUAUUUAUGUUUAUUGAAGUGUAUUGUUGUAUCCAAAGGUGAACUUCAAUAUGCGCCUAAGGUUUAUGUGAAUUUGAUCUAAAUAUAUAUUAUGUGUUUAAGUUCAAAGCAUUAAUGUGUAAGCACUUAUAUAUUUGCAAUAUUUGUGCAUGUUGCUCUUUAUUUGCAAGUUUCAUUUGUUGUUAAGUUCAAUGGCCUUAAUUACUCAGAUUCGUUUGAGCAGAUCCAGUUUCACUUAGGUGUUCUAAAUCUUGACUUAGUAUUAUUAAUAGAGAUGGCAAUUUGGUCCAUUUAAAUUGGAUAUCCAUACAUCCAAUCCAAUUGGAUUGGAUAAUAUCCAUCCAAAAUUUUUUGGAUAUAGAUAUGGAUAUUUUUAAAAAAUAUCCAAAUAAAAAUUGGAUGGGUAUGGAUAUCCAAUGGAUACCCAAUAUCCAAUUAAUAUCUUAUUUGAAAUUAAAAAAUUAAAAUGUAAAACUAAAAUGAAAUAAGCAAAAACAAAUGUCUGGAUAGCAAAACCUAAGAUUAUCACAUCGCUCGCCGGCCGGUCUUUGCUUACCGACGCUCUUCCCCGACUCCGACGUCGCUUUCCGGGGGUUCCGUUUAGGUGCGCCGGCGCUGUACCAAUGGUUGAUCAGCCGUAACUGCAGCUUCCAGCUGUUCUUGAGCGUUUUUCUGCCUCGUUCCAGCUACCAUCGUCUCUGUCAUCGCUGCCACCACCGUCGUCCGUCCGCCUGUUCGUUGUCUCCCGCGCAAGGUAAGUUUUGAUUGCUGAAGCUUAUAAGCCGUUUAAUAUAUAUUUGGCUUUGAUUGAUCUUAUUACCAAAUUUAGCCCAGAAACAGUAUUCAUGUCUUCACAGUACCCAGCAUUUUCACAGUAUUUCUGGUGAUUUUACUAAAAUUAUGCAAAUAUUUUCUUCACCUUUUGUCAGUCACAAAUCUAGAUUUUGAUUAAUUGCUGGAUGGGGUUUAAUUUAGUUUAUGAAUUUGGCUCCAUGAUUAAACAUGAAAUAAGCUUUUACAAGCCUAAAAUCUUAUGCCUUUAUGGCUUCCAUUAUUUUUCUUAUUUUUGUUUACAUGGCUCUGUGUGUGUGUGUGUGUGUGUACAGAGAGAGAGAGAGAGAGAGGAAUUGGAAGAGUUUCAAUAUGCAGUGGUUACUUUCUUCAAAGAAUCUGCUAGUAUAUAUAAUCUAUGGCCUUUCACAUAAUCAUUUGAAAUCUGAUAGUCGAAUUUUCCAACAAAACUUUUUCAGCUUCUAGAGGCCGAAAUCAGUUGAGGCUCCAUUUGCUAUUGGGUGUUGCCAUUUGUGGAAAUGUGGCCCUCCGAUUGUGAAAUAAAAUAUUGACGGAUGCUGGAAGUUAGAUUAUCAUCUAAUUGAUCUCUAUAUGGUUCAUGUUAAGCACUACUACUACUUCCAAACAAACGAGCUAGCUAGUUCUGGAAGUUUAGGGAUUGUUAAUAAUUGCUCUGUAAUGUCUUUUUUUCAGGUUAAUUAUGUCUGAUUUUGAUUCUGAUCCUGCUGUUCAAUUAAACCCUCAAGCCUCAAGUAAUGUUAAUGCUGAAAAUCCACAAACUCAUUCAAUUAGUGGAGGUACAAAACGAGACUCGGAAGGACAACCUAGAAGCUCAUUGAGACAAGCAUCUAGAGCUUGGGACCAUUUCACAAGGAGAACAAUUAAUGGAGAAAUGAAGGCAGUGUGUAAUCAUUGUGGCAAAGGUUUUGCUGGACAGCAAUCAAGUGGAACUUCACAUUUGUUAAACCAUAUUGAUAGGUGUCCCAAACAGAUACAAGAAUCAGCUCCAGCUCCAACUUCUAGCCCUAGUCAAGCAUCUAAGGUCUACAAGAAAAAAGAUGUAUUUGAUAAAGCACUUGCUAGACAGAAAAUAGCAAGAAUGAUAAUCAUGCAUGAGCUUCCUUUGAGAUUUGUUGAGUAUGAAGGGUUUAGGGAUUUGAUGAGUUUUGUUCAGCCUUUGCUUGGUAAAAUUUGUAGGAACACUGUGAAAAGAGAAGUUUUUAAGUUGUUUGAUUUUGAAAAGGCUAAGACAAUGGCUUUGUUGGAGGAUAUUACUAGUAAAGUUUCCAUUACUACGGAUAUGUGGACAUCUAGCAAUCAAAAAAAGGGAUAUAUGGUCGUGACAGUGCAUUUUAUUGACAAUUCGUGGACUCUACGAAAUCGGAUCUUAAGGUAUCAGUUUAAAAGUUUAAUAAAUUUAUUUAUAUUUUAUUAUAUGAACUUUAUUUUAUUUAUUCUUCUAGCUGUAAUUCUGUUUUAUUUUUUAUGAAUUGUGUAGAUUUAUAUAUGUGCCUUCUCCACAUACUGCUGAAGCACUUUCUAAUGAGUUGGCUAAGUGUCUGUUGGAUUGGAAUGUAGAUCGAAGGUUAUCUACAAUAACCAUUGAUAAUUGUUCUACUAAUGAUGCUAUGAUUCCGCUUUUGUUGGCUAAGUUUCCUCCUAGUUCAUUCUUAUUAAAUGGAAAAUUAUUGCAUGUGAGAUGUUGUGCUCACAUUUUAAAUUUAAUUGUUAAGGAUGGGUUAGAUGCGAUAGGAGAUGGGAUUGAAAAAGUUAGAAACAAUGUUAAUUACUGGACAUCAUCACCUAAAAGGAUAGAGCUGUUUGAGGAUACGGCUAAUCGCCAAUUGAAGUUAAAUUGUUCUAAGAGUUUAGUGCUUGAUUGUAAAACUAGGUGGAAUUCGACAUAUUUAAUGCUUGAAGUUGCUUUGAUUUAUAAAGAUGUUUUUACUCGUUUGAAGCAUCGUGAUAACCAAUAUAAGCAUUUGCCUACUGAAGUAGAGUGGGAGUUGGCGAGAGUAGUAUGUGAGCGUUUGAAACCCUUCUAUACUAUGACUGAGAUGUUUUCUGGCACUAAAUACCCAACAGCUAACUUAUUUUUUCCAAUAAUUUGUGAAAUUAGAUUAUCAUUGAAUGCUUGGCUUAAUUCUUCAUGUGAUGUGAUAAAAAAUAUGGCGAAAAGUAUGUUAGAAAAGUUUGGAAAAUAUUGGGAUGAAAUCCAUGGUGUAAUGGCUGUUGCUGUUGUAUUGGAUCCUAGAUACAAAAUGGUUCUAGUGGAUUAUUUCUUUCCUCAGAUUUAUGGUAGUGAUGCAUCAACUCAUAUUGAUAGAAUCCGUACUCUCUGUUCUGACUUAUAUUCAGAAUAUAAAAAAAAAAGUGUGGUUGGAUCGAAUUUGGCUGAAGGAUUUGGUGAGUCUAGUGUUGUUUGUAAUUCUAAUUCUAGUUCAGUUGUGAUGGGUAUGUGGGAUGUGCAAAAAUUUAAUGCAUUCAAAAGCCAACAUAUUCGUAAACGAGUUAAGUCGGAGUUAGAUACUUACUUGGAAGAAGAGGAUAAGACUACUCCAGACUUCGAUAUUUUAAUGUGGUGGAAGGUGAAUAGAAGUAGAUAUCCGAUAUUGUCUGAGAUUGCUAGAGAUUUGCUGGCUGUUCCGGUCUCCACAGUUGCUUCCGAAUAUGCUUUUAGUGCGGGAGGUCGAUGUUUAAGCCCACAUCGUAGUAGACUUCAUCCGAGUACAGUAGAGGCCUUAAUGUGUACUCAGAAUUGGAUAUGGGCUCAAUUAAAAGGUAUCAAAUUCAGCUCACUUAUGCACUUAUUUGAUUUUGAUAGUAUUUGUUUUUUUUUUUAUAUUUUACAAGUUUUUUUUUUUAAAUUAGGUGAGAUUCCUAAAGAUAAAGUGAUGAAUGGGGAAGAAAUAAAUGGAGAAGUGACUGAUAAUGAUGAUGAAGAGGAGACCCAACCAUGUUCUGAAUAGUGUUUAUUUUUCUUUUUUUGGUAUGUGUUUGAUGCUUAUUGUUGUGCCUAAUUGAAGAGUAUAUUUUUAGGAAAGGACCUCAAUGUUACAGAUCCCUGGUGUUCUGUUCUGUGGCCCUGUCUUCUAUUACCUAAUCUUCUAUCCUGUGUUAUUCAUCUUAAGUUUCACUUGAUUUGAAAAUCUAUCCGGCUGCCAAAGAUAUUUCAUUUGUUAUGGCCAUGGUGGCAAAUUAUAUGGUUUCAGAAUUUCCUGUUUAGUUCAUAUCUGCUCUAUUCAUGCAUCAAAUGGCAGGUCUGGCUUUUUUCUGUCAUUUUCUCAUUUACUUCUUGUUAUCAGUUGGUUGCAGUUUGAAAAAUUCCUUGGACAAAGGCAAACCUAAAUUAUACUGGUCAGGCACUCAUCAUAUCCGCAGGUAACUGUCACAACUGGCUGAACUUACACUAUUAAGCUUCUUUCAUUUUUCAUUUGGCUCAUUGUGCAUUUAAUAUUAUCUGUGUUUUGUUUGAAUUUGCAGAUUAAUGAUGAUGAUCUAGUUGGAGAUUAAUGAUGUGUUAGAAGAUUGGAGAUUAAUGAUGCGUUAGAAGAAUGAACUUUUUGUAUUUAAUUUGAAAUUAAUUUGUAAUUUCAUAUUAUAAUUUUUUUAAUUCAUAGUUUUGAUAUUUGUUAUGUUUAUUAUUUUUUAUUUGAUAUUAGAAUUUAAUACUGUUUUUAACUAUUUUAUAUUAUUUUAUUAUUAUUUUUUAUAUAAUCAAAAUAAAAUAUUCAUGGAUAUCCGUGGAUAUCCAUGGAUAUCCAUAUCUUUAUGGAUAAAAUCCAUAUCCAUGUCCAAUAUUAAAUACUGGAUAUGGAUAUGGAUAUAUCCAUCAUGGAUAAUUAUGGAUUUGUAUUUGGAUGGAUAUUAUCCAUCCAUAAUUGGAUAUUUGCCAUCUCUAAUUAUUAACUGAAAGGCCAGCUGUUAUUACUAAUGAAAGUAGUGCUGAAAAGAAAUCUUUCCAUAAUGUUUAUGCGUAUGACAGUUUUUUUUUUUUGGGGAUAAGAUGAGAAUGAGAUGACAGUUUCUAGGUAGAAACGCUAGCUACUACUAGGAGUGCGAAGCUAGCUAGCUGCUGAGGGAUGGCAUUUUUCGAUUGUGAAGAAAAUCACCAAUUUGUUUCGAAGGGAUAUGAAAGCCAAAUCGCAAUUUUGUUUCCUCUAAUCCGUUUCAUUCUGGCAUCUAGGCAUUUUGUUGUAUGUUAAUUGCUUUGCUGGCUCAUCGAUCAAGACCAUUAAUUUAUAUGUGUAGCGUUUCUUAUUAUUAGUUGGAAUCAAUAUAUAGACAAGAAUAGCACAGAGCAAAUGUUUCCAGUCGUUUAAUUGCAGCCAUACAUACACAGCAACAAGCCAACAACGUCCGAGAAAACUCAACAAUAGUAAUGAAAAUUGUACAAGAAAAUCAAGGAUCGAUUGCUGAAGACAGCAAAUCAAUUGAAAAGCAAUAAGAGAAAUGCGUAAUUUGAUGAAGAUAAUGUUGGGGAAAAAUUAGGUUUUUAAAUUUUUUAUAAAACCUUUUGAAGAUCGCUCUCAUAUAAUAUAUAAGAAUUUGUAAUCUAGAAAUUGUACCUUGAAAAUCCGAUUUGGCUUUUUCCGUUGAAGUGAUUUAGGCUCCUAGAUCACGAUCCGCCACCACCACUCCUGUUAGAUCACGAUCCGUCACCACCACACUUGUUAGAUCACGAACUGUCACCAAUGAUCUUUCAGGUUAUGACUCAGGUUCGAUCUGCACUUGACGUGUGGGCGCCUUUAUCACUACCAAAGUAACUAGCACGAGAAAAUUUUUCUCUCACAACAAUAGAGAGAAAAAUAUUUUUCUCUGAUCUGAAUAAAGUGGCUGCUCACUUUUCUUUUGAGAAAAUAAGUCUUUUAUAUCAUCCUUUAGUGAAAAUCCUAGGCUCCAAAUAAUCAAAAAAUAAAACCCACGUUAUUUGCUUUUUCAAUAGGAGACCCACCUUGUAAAAUAACAUAAGACCCCUUACACAAAAGCUAAUUAAAUGGAGCCUCCCACUAAAUGAUAUAUUUAGGCUUUUGACCCAAAUAACUAGUUAUCUUACUUAUUAGUCCAGUAGUGGUGCAGUCAAUUAAAUGAGCUAACCCGAGGAUCAUUUGGGAACAUAUAAUAGUGGCUACAAUAAUUAGGUCUGUAAUUAAACUAGCCCAAUUAUUUAAUUCCAAAUCUACUCCACUAAAAGAUUAGAACCGACUUCCAUAAUUGUAUGCUCGAAUAAUAAUUCGUCCCAAGCCACAUUGAUUUCUUUACUGCACAAUCUUUUGUACCACAUCGUUAAUUAAAUUGAUAUCUCAACUGUCCAAUCAAUUUAAUAACAUCUUAUUCCUUGAUCCUUACUGGUUUUCUCUAAUGAUCAUUUUCAACAUACUAAAUAUGUUGACACACUCUGGCCAGAGAAUUCUAUGAUUAAGUGCCGAAAACCCAUCAAGAGAUGUGUUGUACAAAUUCUAUAUUGUUAAUUCAUAACUCCAAUACUCAUAAUUGCUCCCACUAAAAUACCGAGUAAUCUUGACCACAAUGAUGUGUCGUGCCCAUUGGUAACUCAAAUAGAAUAACAAUUACAAUCAUGAAAUCAUAAUUAACUCAAAAUUAAGAUUACAGUAAAAUCAACGCCUAUGAGAUUUAAUAAGUCUAACAGUUAUUACAAAGUUAAUUAAAUCUCAUAUGUGAUCCUGUUCAAUGUAGUCGUACUACAUCAAUAAAUUCAUACAUGAUUAAGAUAAAUUAUUCAAUGAAUUUAUUACAGUCUAUACCUAAAUAAAGUGUCCAACUUUAUUUAUCAACUGCAAACUAAAUUUAUUUAAUCAUAAAAUAACUUGUAUUUAUGUCUUCUGUGAAUCCACAUGGUGAUCACAUAAAUACAUAUAAUAUGAUUAAAUGGACUUUAAUACAAAUAUUAAUGCAAUUAAGAUAUUUGAAUAAAAUACCUCAUUUAUUUUAUUAAUCAGAAAAAUUGUUUAUUACAAUUAAAUAAACACAUAUGCUUUUAAAGAGCAUAUUUUCCCAACAGAUAAUACAUGAGUUACCAUUACACCAGACAAAUAAAAUAUAUAUAAAGCUUGAGCAUUAAAAGUAAUGUCAGCGUUUUAUUAAUCUCUCCAACCGUCUCCAUAUAUAUAUAUAUAUAUAUAGGAGCAGGCAAAGUAUAUUAACUAACUGCGGGAUAAGUCAGGGAGUUGUGAUACCUGAAAAAAGAAAAACAAAAAAUUGAUGUCAAUGAAGAUGAAGGUAAUUAUAUUUCAUUUUAACAAAGAUCAUGAUGAAAGAGGAACUGUGUGUGUAAAGGUGAUGUGUUUAUAAAUAUCGUAGUAGCUUACUCCCACAUUUGAAGUGACGAGAGACUCUCCUACCGCAGCCUUCAAUGAGGCGAAUGACACGGUUGACAUUAAUGAAAGCGGCCAGCUUGGGGGUGAUAGCAGGGCAGACACACUCAAUAUGGCUAACCCUAAUACGUUGGCAACAUGCAGGAGAUGGAGGCUGGCCAUAUACGAUUGGCUUGCAUGCGUUUACCCCCAGCCGCCUUUCUUCGCUGCACUGACUCGGGCUCAAUCCUCCCCCCCCCCCCCCCACUCACCCUUUUCACUCUGCCAUCCAUCAUCAUCAUCAACAACAACACACAUGCCACCCACAACAUAACAAAUGAAGACCAACAACUGUUCUUCUUCUUCAUUGAACCCAUGACUUUCUCUGUGUCUAUUUAUGAUCUAUCAGGCUGUGUUUUUAACUUUAAACAAACUUAUCACCCUUGUUAAUCCAAUCUAUAUAUUUAUAUAAAGUUGGAACUACAAGAGGUGACGUGACAUCACCAUUUCUCAUCUUUAUAUAUUCUCUAUUAUAUAAUAAAUAGAGAAAUUUUCUUUCAGAUUUGGUUUUUUAUCUUCUCAUAAUUAAUUUGACUGUUAUUACACAAUUAAUAUGUAACAGUUCAUCAAAAGACCCACUAUCCUCUCUAAUUGAAACUUUCUUAAUCAUAAAUUAUACAAGAGGUGAUGUUGCAUCACCAUUUCUUAUCUUUGUAUAUUCUCUAUUAUCUAAUAAUCAUAUCUAUAUAUCUAUAUCUAUCUAUAUAUAUAUAUUAAAGUUGGGACUUGAGGAGCUGAUGUGGCAUGAACAUUUCUUAUCUUUGUAUAUUCUCUAUUAUCUAAUAAAUAGAGAAUUUUUUUUUAAAAAAUUUGACUUUUCAUCUUCUCAUAAUUAAUUUGAUUGUUAUUACACAAUAACAAUUAUGUAAAUAUUUUAAUGAAGUAUAUUCUUUGUAAUGAACAUCUAAGGGGGAGUGUUAUGAAUUUAUUAAAAUAAAUGUAGAUGCUCAUAACAUAUAUCUCUUAGUUUCCCAACUAUCUCCCAUUAGCAACCUUUAGCUUCCCUAUAACUCCCAUUAUCUCACAAGGAAUUAUGAUCUAUAAUUUUUCAUUAAUUUCAUGGAGUAAUUAUGUAACUAUAAAAGGAGAGCUAAUCUUUUUAUUUUGUACACACACAAUUGAAAUGAAUAAAAUCACUCUAUAAUAUAUUCUCUCAUUUAUUCUUUAUCUUGCGUUGCUUCUUUAUUUGUAUUGUUGGCUAAUAACUUUUUUUAUUUUUUAUAAGGCUGCCUUAUAUUAAAAAAAAUUAAUUUAUAUUUUUUAUCAGUUUCAUCAAGUGUAAAGUAAGAAAAAAUAAUAAUACUAAAUUUUUUUUAAAAGUCGCGUGAAGUGCGGUUCUAUUUUCUAGUUAAUAAAAAAAAUGAAGAAUUGAAGCCUUAUUCCAAAAAAAGAAUCUAAAAAUUAAAAAAAGUAUAAAAAUUAUGGUCAGACUUGGAUAAAGCCCGAGUACAACCCUAGUUUGUAGGGUCGGCCUUUUUAAGGGUUGGGACCCUUUAUUUUACAAAACUUAGCCGGACCCAUCCCCUUGCCAAGCCUAAUUCCUCCACCACUGCACUUUGCACUCGAAUCGAAUGCAUGAAUGGUAUACUUUUUGGCUAUGUUCGAGACAUAUGAUGGGAUUCGACUAAUUAUUAGAAUUAAAUUAGAUUAAAUUAUAUAUUUGUGCUUAUUUGGUACAAUAUUAGAUUGGGUUAAAUUAAAUCAAAUUAAAAUUAAGUUUAAUGAUAUUUAAGUUGAUAUUUUAUAUAAAACUCAAUUAAUGAAUGAUGUGCUUCUUAUGAAUGAUUAUAUUAAUGGAUAUAAAAUACUACUAAAUAAUAAUUUGGAUGCUUAAUAUUCAUUUUAUUGUAAACUAAUUUUUACAUUUAAUAUUCAAUACUAGUUUAACUAAAUUGUUGAAUUAAAUUAAGUACGAUUUAAAAAAAAUAUUAUUGAAUAAAAUUUUGAUACUGGAUAUAAUAUAAAAUUCUAGGUGAAUAAAUUAUGAAAUUAAUUUUUAUAUUUAAUUUAAGUUAAAUAUUAGUUCAAAUGAAAAAGAAAAGAGUGAUAAAGAGGACAAAAUAUUUCAUUCAAUCUUGUCAAUCUAAUCCUAGUUAGGGCUAGUUUGAGAUUAUGGUGGAAAUUCAAUAAGUUGUUUAUUGCAUAAUUUUUGAUAAAAACAGUGUUUGAUAAAUUUUGUAAAAUCAUAUUAUUUCAUAAUUUUAUUCAUUUUUUCAGCAGCUUUUAAAAGCAGGUAAGGGGUUACUUUUCAUAAGCAGCUUAUUUAAUAAAGUACCACACCUUAUUAAAAUUUUUAUUAUAACCUUAUAUUUUAUUAAAAGAUAAUUGUAUCUUAUAUAUCUAUAAACCCUAAUAUAUAAAUCAUCAGAUCUCAUAUUACCGCCAUAAUCACAUACGUUCUCUCUAAUUUUGAUCCAAUAAGUUCAUAUUCUAAUUUCAUAACUAUAGUUUUUAAAAUUUAAAAUUUAAUAUAUAUAUAUAUAUAUAUAUAUUAAUUGUUCCAAAUCCGUUGCCAAUCUAUUUUUUUUUAAAAAAUCCAUCGUAUUCUUUUUGUUUGUGCAAAAUUUGGAACAUGGAAGCCUGCCUGAGUCUCUUGUUAGGAAACUGAGUAUUCUUUUUUUUUUUUAAUUCGCAUUUUUUUUUCGUCAAUAUCAUAAUCUUCAAGAAAAAUCCGUUGUGCAAUUCAGAAGAGGAAAAAAGAGAGGAAGAAAACAAAGAAAAGAACGAGUGCAUUAAUUCACCGUUCCCCAAUUAAUGCUUGCAAAAUAAAUCAAGUGCAUUCAAAGAAUGGGUGAAUUAAUUCAGUGGUCCCCUUGCCCCCUCUUUUUUUCUUCAUUUUACUGUUCUUUUUCUUGCAAAUAUUAAAAGAAUGGGUUAAUUAAUUCAGUGGUCCCCCCACCCUCUCUUUUUCUUUGUUUUACUGUUGUUCUUUUUCUUGCAAAUAUUACAAUGCUGGAAAAAAGUUGAACGAAACAUUAAUUCAUUGGUAUUAAUUCAACGGUUUAUAUCUGUUCUCAUAAUUUAAUCAAUUGUCACAAUUUAAGUUCGUAUUUUAUACAUAUUUCUAGACCCGUUUAUCAUAUAAUCAUAAAAUGUCUAACUUAAAUGUUUGGGUGAUUAAAAGAGCACCAGCCGCAUGUGAUUCAUCUGGUUGAGGUAGAAUCUCCUCUGCUCUAUUUUGAUGAGCAGAUACAAUGGCACCAGAGCCCUCUUCGGUGUAAGCCAUAGGUCGACCAGAGAGUUGUACUUAAAAAUAAGGCUUGAUGCCACAUCAAGGCAGUAGCUUCACCACGUCCAAACCGUUUGAGGGAGGCACGAUAACCAAUGCACGAUUUUCGCAGUCUAUUUGAUCCAUGAUGGCCCGAAUAUAGAGGACGUGGGGGGAUGUUCAAGACACAAAGGGUUGCUGACUAUAAAACCCUAAAAAACGACAGGAAAAAGGAAAAGAAAGGAAAAAACAAGGCAAAACUCUGCCAUUUUGGAUUCAGAACUCACUUUCAUGAAACCUUUAAAAGACUUUUCCUUCAUUUAACAAUUGUUAGCUUGCAUAGAUCUAUAGUCCAACGUUUUUCCUGAGACCCUACAUACUGACAUAAGUAUCAGAGGGUUUUCGCCGAAAAAAUUACCGACGCCUCUUAUCCAUUUCUGUGAGUUCAGGUCAAAAGAGAAGGAACGAGGUUGGUUGUGGUCGCAUAAUUCGCUCGUCAAGGGAAGGAACGAGUAUCGUAGCGCUUAGCCAAAGUUAACUCGAGUGUUGACGAGACAACCUGGUCAGCCCUAAAAUACGAUCAGAUUUUUGCAUCAACAUUUUUGGCCCCAUCUGUGGGGAGUUGAACAAAAAGCUACUACAAACAGAGCAACUCGCAGAGAGAAGUGAACGCGUGUACAAGGAUAUAUGGAGGAAUAAUGCCCAAGGAGGUGAGCACGAGACUAAUGAGACGAUCACUAUGAGAGAAAUAACAAAUAAGGCAAGGGAGAGAGUGAUGCAUGAACGAAUGAAGCGGAUGGAGACUUUUACCGCCAUAUUGCAUGAGCUGAGGAAUGAGCAGAUAAGGGUUUACAAGACCAAUGUGACAAGAGAUGAUGUUGCUAGGAGCACAGUCACCGAAGGAAUAGAAAUGAGGAGAUUCCUUCAAUAGGGGGCAUCUCGACGGGGUACAUAACAAUGGAGUUGGGAACCCGACUUCGAGAGAACGUGGGCACGAAGGGAGAGACCAAUGUUGGUAUAAAUUCAAAUGCUAUGGGUGCCAAUGUGCAAGUGUACACAACAAAUAAUAUAAUGAUAAGUAUUUAAGAUCGUCUCCACAAAGAUUGAUGUUAUGGAAAUUGCUAUAGCAACCCUAAUAAUUUUGCUCGAAUUGAAAAUAAAUUGAACAAUUAAACUAAUAAACUACCUAAUAAAAUGCAAUAAGUAAAUAUGCAGAAAAUCAAACUCUCACGUCAAACACAAGGAUAAAAUUAAUGAGAAUGAAGUAGUUGAGUGAUUAACUCUCUUAACAGACUUGACUAUUUCUUGCAAUUUUCGUUUAAGUUACUGCAGUAUCCUCAUGUAUCAUCAGUUGUCGCAUGUUGGAUGUCUUAUAUCUAUAUACAACCUAAUAAUGACCAAUUGUUAUGCCAACAUAAUAUAUAACAUUACACGUUCAGGUUUUAUUUACCCUAUAAGGUAAAUCUCUACAUCUAGUUCAUCAUUAAUUUUAGAUUAAGCAUGACCCUUUUGGACUCAAGUUACACUCAACCUAGGAAACACAAUCUAAAAUCAAGUAUUGUUAUGAUGUGUUCUACUAAGAUAGGCCCUUUUUGUGGCUCUUUUCUAGCUUGUAUCAUUAAAUGGUAGUUAGCCGAAAUAAUGACUUCAAAUAAAUACUAUCACAACAAAAUGCUAUAGCAAACAUGCAGCAACAUAUAAAUUCUGUCAAGAAGCCAUUAAAAUUGUUUAUCAUUGAACCACAAAUAAUAUUAGUUCAUGGUUUGCAAAAGAAACCUAAACAACAAAGAUUCAGCCAGCAAAUACAUUCUCAUACCAAAAAAGAAUAAAAAAGAUUGAAUUCCAAUUGAUUCCCGCAAAUUAUCCACCGGUGCAGCCUUGAUUAUUGUUCUUGAAAUAUGUUUUUCCUUUGUUUUCUUUUUGAUUUGUGAUCUUGGUUGACAGCCUACUUUUCUUUUGCAUGUGUGCCUAUUUUAUAGCUCAAAAUUAGGGUAAACGGAGGUCCAAAGAGUGUAUUUUCCCAAUUAGGAAACUAUAUGUCACAAUCUGUUAAUUGCUUUACACGAGAUUUUCUCUGUCGUUGUUUUAUAAUUGUUACAGCAUUGGUUAUUACAUCAAUGGCUACAACAUCUGCACUGUUCCAGAUUUACUCCAAUUCUUCUAUAGCCAUAUUCUUUUGUCCUUUUUGUAAGCCCAUUGCUACAAUAUCCUUCCCAUGAAAUUUAAACUCCUGGUCAUCUACAAUUAUUCAUAUGUUUUAAGCACACAAUUAUUCGAAAUCAAGCACACUUUAUUUAACUUUAACUAAAAUGAAUGUUAAUGUAAACUAUUAUUAAAAUGCACUAAAACACAUCAAUUACUCUCUAAGUAAUAUUGAUUUAAGCUCAAAAGUAUCAUGAUAACUCUCAUUUCAUAGAAUUAUCACACCCCCAAACUUAAACCAUUACUUGUCCUCAAGUAAUGACAACAACACUCACAUUUCAAUCAUACAAUAAUGCAACAAAUAACUUAGCUCUAUCAUCAAAUUUCGCAAGGAUUCUUCAACCCUCAUAUCACACCUUCAAUCAUGUAAAAUUGCCAUAGUAGUUCAGCUCUUGACUUAGGCAUUAUUCUAUCCAAAGUGUGUGUGUGUGUACUUUGAUCAAGUCUCAGAGAUGUUUGCAACAUCACUCAAGCAUCAGAUGCAUUUUACAAAUAUAAAACAAUAUAACCAAAUCCAUCUUGUGGGGGAGACAAAGGUCUUGCAAUAAAUUCACACUGUGCUACAACAAUCAUUCUUAGUUUUUUUUUUCAUUAAUGAAUCAAACCCUUCAAUGCAACAUUGAGGUUUCAUGCGAAUGCCUAUCACUUGUAAUGACGACACCCAAUUACUCACUCAAAGCACAUGUCAAAUUUGCCACAACAAACACAUCCAAGAUUCUAUAUCUAGGUCUUACCUUUGAACACCUUUAACUCAAGGUUGAACAUUGAGCUUAUGAAUAGACUUGGUUACUCAGUAUCCUAGGUAGUGGACCCCUUUGUUUUUCAUUCCUUCAUCAUAUUUUUUUUUCAAUAGUUGCUGCAGCACUGCUCAUAGCUCUCGUUGCAUUUUGAGUCAAGUCUGCAUAUGAGGUGCAUACUCAGCCCUAGUUAUUCAGUAACUUACCCCAUUGGAGUAGAAUUUAUUUCAUAAUAGGCAUAGUUCAACAAAACUUUUUCCCAAACUUGAGGUAUUUUCUACCCUUUUUGGUUUUCCUGGCCCUGCUACAGUAUACUCAUGAAACUCAACCAAAGUCUAAGUGUUGAGAUUGACUUUCAACCUCCAUCUUUAACUAUCCCUACUUGGCAUUCCUAAUUACUGAAUGACAUUCAAUUUAUCUUCAUUAGGUUUUCAAAUCCAUAUGCAAAUAAUAGAUAAUAGAGCUUCACAUAACACACAACACAAACACAUGGAUUUUAGAAACACAAUACAUAAUAACACACCCCCCAAACUUGAGAGGAUUUGUGUCUUCACAAGCACACAAAUUAAAACCAAAACAAACAUGCAUGCAUUAACAAGCAAAAAAUGCAACUUGAUCGAUAAAAAAUAAAUAAAUAAAAGGAAAGUUUCAUAAUUUGGAAAACAAAAUGAAUGUGAGCUGGCAGGGAAUACUCUGAUGCUGUUGAAUAUGUUGCUGCAGCUCUAGCUGAAAGGUUUACUGCUUUUCGGAAGAACUCCUCAAGCGGUCCUUGGGUGAGCCUUGUGGUGGGAUAGUUGGCUACAUUUUCUUCUUGCUCAGAGUUGGGCUGGUUGGUGGAUGUGGUAGUAAGCGUAGUAAAGGGCGACUAGAUGAUGUCUAGAAGCCGCUACACCACAGCCGCCAAGGAAACCUUACAAGUUACCUGAUUCGACAACCGAGGAGAUUCCAAGAAGAGUCGGCAAGAACCGGUCGAAACCUUAGAGGAUGUGGUAAUGAAACAUGAUGACCUGAGUAGAACUAUGAAAAUUAGAUCUAAUCUAAGCCGAAGCUUGAGGGAUGAGCGGAUAGAGUGUUUAAGGUCUCAUGUUGACAUGUUCACCUGGUCACACGAAGAUGAAAUACAAGUGUGCAACCCAAGAGGGGGGUGAAUUAGGAUUCUAAAAAUUAUUUGAUUCUAAAACAAAUUAUCAUGCAAAUCUAGAAUGAAUUUAAUGGAAUAACAAUUAAAUCAAUUACAAUAUAAAAAGAUAAGGAAAUAGAGAUUCAAACACAAAGAUUUUUACGUGGUUCGGCCAACAUCUCCUAUGUCCAUGCCUCCAGGCUUUCCGGGCUUGAGGAUUUCACUAAGUAAGCCUCCAAGGCUUCAAAUGCUUACACUUGACUUCCAAGGUGUCAAUGAACCUUUACAACAAGAGAUUAUCCUCAAUCGCUUAACCCAAUUGUAUCCCAACACUUACAAUCACUCAAAGUAAAAGAUUAAAAAUUAUUUUUCUCUCACACAAUAUUUAAGAUUACAAAUCAAUGCCCAAUGUGUGAAUAGAUAAAGCAAAAAUGUGUUUUAAAACUCUAUGAAGAUUGUAUUCUCGAAUAUAAGCUCAAUGGUCGUGUUGUGAUCAACGUUGUUUGAAUUUGAAUGAGCUUAUUUAUAGUUGGAGCUGAAAACUAGCUAUUAUUGACUUUCUACUCAUUGUCGGAUCGCCGUUAACUACAGUAACUGCUACAGUGAACUAUUUUUAUAAAAUUAUCGUUUGACCUCAAAACUUUAUAAAAUUAUACUAUGGCCCAAAACUUUAUAAAACUUAUCAAUUAGGUCAAUUUUCAAGAUUUUAAGCAAUGCUUGUUAUUUUAAAAAAUCUCAAAGCUUUUUCAAUUGAAACCAUUAACAUGAGAAUAACCAAAAACAUUUUCAUAUAAUAUAAAGCCUUUAUAAAGUCAGAAUGAUGAUUUAAAAACAAUGAAAACUAUUUUGAGCUUUUAAAAGAUUAAUCAAUCUUAAUCAAGUUUGUUAUCAUCAAAAUCAAUAAUAAAGAAAUAUUUAUGUUAACAGAAGAUAUACCGGGAAUUAAUCCAAAGAUCGCUUGUCAUAAGUUAGCAAUCAGGAAAUGGGCAAGGCCAGUGAAACAGAAAAAAAAGAGAUGCUUCAAUCAGGAAAGGUAUGAAGCCAUAAAUAUUGAGGUAGAGAAGUUACCACAAGUAUGAUUCAUAAGGAAAGCCAGAUAUCCGGAGUGGAUUUCUAAUGUAGUGCUAGUGAAGAUAGCAAAUGGAAAGUGGAGAAUGUGUAUGGACUUCAUGGACCUCAACAAGGUGUGUCCAAAGGAUAACUUCCUUUUCCCAAAGAUAGAGCAGCUAGUUGACUCAAUAGUCGGCCACACCUUGCUUAGCUUUAUAGAUGUAUUCUCCGGAUACAACCAAAUGCCUAUAGAUGAGUAGGACGAGGAGAGCAUUGCAUUUAUUACUAAUAUGAGUUUGUUUUGUUACAGGGAAAUGCCAUUUGAUCUUAAAAAUGCAGGGGCUAUACAUCAUAUAUUAGUGAAUAGGAUCUUUAAACCCAUGAUCAGGUGCACUAUAGAGGUGUACGUGGAUGAUAUGAUUACAAAGUCUAAAGAGCCGAUGGAACACAUACUGCAUUUAGAAGAAACCUUCGAAUUAUUGAGGAGAUAUAUGAUGAAACUUAACCCAAAGAUAUGUGCAUUCAGGGUAUGCUCAGAAAAGUUCAUGGGAUUUAUAGUGAGCCAUCGGGGAAUUGAAGCUAACCCAGAGAAUAUAAGCGCAAUAACAGAAAUGAAAUCUCAUUGGACAAUCAAAGAGGUGCAAAGCCUUACGGGAAAGCAAACAGCAUUGAAUCGAUUCAUAUCAAGGGCAACAGAUAAAUGUCACGCAUUCUUAUAGGUUAUGAGAAAGGGGAGAAAGAUGGAGUGGUCAGCAGAAUGCGAGGAAGCAUUUGGGCAGUUGAAAGAAUGCCUUACUAAAGCCCUAUUAUUGUCUACACUAUGAGAAGGUGGUUUGUUUUAUUUAUACUUAGCUGUUUCGAAAUGGGCUACCAGCUCAGUGUUGGUGAGAGAAGAAGAAAGAAUACAACAUCCUGUGUAUUAUACCAGCAAAGCCUUAGUAGAUGUAGAGACCAGAUACCUGACUAUGGAGAAAUGGGCAUUGGCUUUAGUAACAGCAACACGCAAGCUGAGGCCGUACUUCUAGGCACAUUCAGUGAUCGUAAUGACUGACCAGCCUCUUCAACAAGCACUCUUGAAGCCAGAGGCGUUUGGCUGCUUGCUUAAAUGAUCAGUAGAGCUGAGUGAGUUUGACAUAACCUAUCGACCUCGAGCAGCCAUCAAAGCACAAACCUUGGCUGACUUCGUGGCAGAAUGCACCAAGCCGGGUGAGAGAACUUGCGAAGGACAAUCAGUUAGAGAGGCAGAGCCGAUCGAGGUCUGGUUGAUUAUGGUUGACGGGUCAUGCAACGAGCAGGGGGCCGGAACAGGAAUAGUUAUACAUAGUUCAGAAGGGGUCGAAAUUUCUUAUACUGUAAAAUUUGAAUUUCAGGUGACCAACAACCAAGCGGAGUACGAAGCUUUCAUAACUGAGCUUAAGCUAGCGCAUGCCUUACGAGCUGAAAGAAUUGAGAUUUGAACAGAUUCUCAACUGGUCUGUAAUCAGCUUAAUGAACACUUCCAAGCAAGAGGCGAAAAGAUUGAGUUGUAUUUGAGGAGGGCUAAACAAAUGGUCGGAAUGUUCCAAGAGGUAAAGAUAAAGUAGAUAUCGAGAACAGAGAAUUACCGAGCAGAUAUGCUAGCUAGAAUGACUGCAACAGCAGAUCUAAAACUACCAAUGUCAAUCCCAAUGAAGGUCAAAACUUUGCCAAACAUCGAGUAAGAAGCAGAAAUAAUAAGAGUGAAUGCUCAAGAGUCCCGGAUGGAUCCAAUUAUUCAUAUAUCCAUGACGGAAGCUUACCGAUGGAUAUGAAGCGAGUGAGAAAACUAAAGUGUCGAACGACUAGGUAUACGCUGCUCGAUAAGAUACUCUACCGCUGAGGGUUUACCUUACCUCUUUUGCAGUGUUUGGAUGAUGAAGAGGCAAACUAUGUGCUACGAGAAAUACAUGAAGAAAUAUGUGGUAACCACUCCGGAGCAAGAACUUUGGCAUUCAAAGUGUUAAGACAAAGAUAUUUCUGGCCGACCAUGCACCAGAACGUAAUGGAAAUGACUAAAAGUUGCCAAAGUUUCUCAAAUGUCCCUACUCAACCUCCAGAGAAACUUACUGUUAUGUCCUCUCCAUGGCCUUUUGCACAAUAGGGGGUUGCUACACAUGCUACUGUGGCGAUAGAUUAUUUUACAAAGUGGGUAGAGGUUGAAGCUCUAAGCCAGAUCAUGGAAAAGAAAAACCAAGUUCAUCUGGAGGAAUAUUAUAUGCAGAUAUAAGAUCCUUUAUAUACUUAUAAUAGAUAAUGGAAGGCAAUUUGACAACCACAACUUCAGGGAAUUUUGCCAAAAUUUGGGUGUUGAGCUAAAAUUCUGCUCUUCGACUCAUCCCCAAUCAAAUUGGCAGAUAGAGACUGCUAAUAAGGUCAUAAAAAAGCUUUUGAAAACUAGAUUAGGGGAAAAGAAUGGAGCGUGGGUCGAUGAGUUACCUGGUGUGUUAUGGGCUUAUCGGACAACCCCCAAAACCGCAAUAGCAGAAACCUCAUUUGCCCUGGCCUUUGGCCAUGAAGCUGUGGUCCCAACAGAAAUUAGAGUAGGAACACACCAAACCGAGUACUUUGAUGGGAACAGAACGACGAGCAGAUGUGUCUGAAUCUUGACCUGUUAGAUGAGAAAAGAGAAAAGUCCCCGUUGAGGACGAUUGAAUAUCAGUAGAGGGUUGUGCACUACUAUAACCAGAACGUGCACGUGAGGCAAUUCCGAGCCAGGGACUGGAUACUUAGGAAAGUGAAUUAGAGCACGAGAGAUCCCAGCCAAGGCGUCUUUGGCUCUAACUGGGAAGGCUAGUACAGGGUAAUGCGUUUCACUGGUCCAGGAGCUUACAAAUUGGCAUUCCCAAAUGGUCGAAAAGUAAAGAAAUCAUGGAACACGGAGCACUUAAGGAAAUAUUUCCAAUAAGCAAGCCAUUUCAUAUAAUAUUUUAGUUAAGUUGUUUAUGUUUAAUGUAGUAAGAGUUACCACAUGCAUAUGUUUUCCACUUUUUUGUAACUAUUUAAGCAUUCAGUAAUGAUAAGGUGAUGAAUUUCAUUUAGACAUGUCUUACCAAAUUAUUUCUAAGGUAAAUAAAGGGUCAAAUGUCUCAAAGCCUGGUCGAGGCGAGGCGAGUCAAAUGUUUUCCAUAACCUGCUCUGUCAAGCGAGGACGAGUAGGCAAAACUCGCAAAAAUUAUUUCUAAGGAAAAUAAAGGCUAAAUAAGCUCAAAGCCUAUCGAGACGAUACAAGUUAAAAGUUUGCCUUGACCUGCUCUGCUAGGCAAGAAUGAGCAGGCAAAGUUUACCAAAAUUAUUCUAGGGGAAAUGAGGGCUCAAAAGACUCACAACCUUCUCGAGGCGGAGCAGGCAAAAAAUUUGUAAAAAAUCUACUCUAUCAAACGAAGAUGAGCGGACAAAGCCCAUGAAAUAAUCACUAGGGCCAACAAUAAGUUUUGGAAUAUCGGAGUUGGUGAAGAAGUUAAACAUUCAAAAGACAAAACAACAAUUCAUACAAGUCUUCUUGAGCAAAGUAUUAAAAUGAAAGGUAGAAAACAGAAUUUAUAAAUGUUUCAAAAUAUGUGAACAAAUGAAAGUUUGCAGUUCAAACAUGAAAUAAAAUUCAUGGAUUUUGGGAGGAAGGCUCAACUACUUAUGCAGGGGAGGAAUCAAUAGUCAUAGCCGAGGAGGGAUCAGUGAUCCCAACAAGGGCAAGGGCUGCCUCCACAACUGCAUCUGGCGUUUUGUCCCUUGUUCCUUUUUCCUGCUCUUAGCACCCGGAGGAGUCCCAUCUUGGCCUUUGUUUGGUUGAUUUUGCUAAGCCAUACACUUGCUUCAAGCUUAUCUAUCUUCAGCUUUGGAUAUUCCUUCUUAAGGACAGACAUAAUGUAGUUAUAGCUAAAAGCAAGCUCAUAGUCGUACUCUUUAUCCAUCCGGUCCUCCAUGUUAUUGACCUUAUCUUUCAACUUAGUUAUUAGCAAUUUCAAAGAUUUAAUUUGCUCUUCAUACGCUGAUUUCUGAGUAUCUCACUCACUUCGUGCAAUGUCAAGAUCAGAUUCCAUCUCUACAAGCUCAUGAUCGAGUUGAAUGGACUUGGACUCAGUGAGAGCAAUUUUCUCCUCAAGGUCUAGAAUCUGCUUAUGCAGUUCAAGCAACCGCUCCUUUGAACGAUCAGUUGCCUCAGCUUUUUUUCUUCAAGUCUUGAAUAUCUGCUUGUCGUCUCUUCUUAUGGCGAGAAGCCUUGAACUUAUAAUAAGAGGCUGUUGUAGCGGGCUAAAAGGCAAUUUUUUUUAUGGAGCCUCCCAUCUCGGUAAGGGUCAUACCCUCGAGCUCUUUUACAAACUUGAACCCCAUCACCCUGGCAUAUUCCCUUUGGUAUAUGGCCAAGUAAUUGUUUUGGUCUCGGGAUGGAGGUGACGAAGUUCGGUUGGUAGAAGGGGUAGCACUCUUGGGGUAUUCUCGCGAGAUUUUUCACCACCACCCUUUUAGGCCGGAGAGGGCGGCAGAGCUGGUGGAGGAGUGCUGGUCGGGGUGACGUUGCUAUUUUCUGUGGGGUAAGGGCAGAGUCACCUGAACCACGAGCAUGUUUCCUUGCCAUGGCACCAAGGAUCUUGUUAUCCAUCCCCGUAGCUAUAUCGAUUAUGUGGGACUCGACGAGACUUGUUGACGUCAAAAGGCCUUUGCACAUACAAGCGUUGACUAAGGCAGUCUGAACUUUGAGUAACAAUUCCUCCUUGAUGUUGUAAAUCAUGCUCCAAGAAUAUAAAAAACACAGUAAAUAGUAAGAAGGAAGGCAUGAGGCGUGAAAAAUAAUAAAUGGCCUGGGGUGCAAAAACACGUGGGGACAUGAAUACUACCACCACCCGAUUGAAUCACCUGACCCUAGUUUCCCCCAGCAAAGAAGAAUUUGCUCUUUCAUUUUUUACAUGAGGUAGGAAAGUCUGUGAUGAGUUUUCUCUUUGUAGAGCUCAACAUGAAAUAGUACCAGCCCACAUCUUUUGGGUUGUUUCUUAGUUGAUGUAAAUUCUUUAUUUCAUCAGUGGUAGGCUUUCAAGGUUCACACCUAACCCACAGCACAAACAAGCCUGAAAGUACCCUUCAUCUGUUUGGGUUUAAUUGACCAGGAGCCAAAUGUAGGUCACUCAACAACUUCGUAAAAUAAAGUUGGAGGGGCAAUUUAACUCAUAAUUUGAAACACUUCAAGUAUAAGGUCACGUAGCCUUGAGGAAGUUGACUAAGGACAUCACUUUUUUUCGAGAAUAACGAGAUGGAUGUUGUUGGGAAUACGAUAGAGGUUAUUCAAUUUGUAUAGAUCAUUUUGUGUGGUGCUGCACCUUAUAAAAUCCAUGGGAUAAGAAUUAGCUUCUAUCAUGUGGCCAAGAUUAUUUUUUUUAGCUGGUUGGAUCGGCUCGGUGCCACCUUCUACAUUAUCACUCUCUUCGUCAUGACUUUCUACCCCACUCGAGCUAGGACGUUCGUCGAAGCUUGACGUUUGUCCACUUUUAUCCCCACUAGGUUCGUGACCAGAAGGUGGUGGAGUAACCUCUAACGAUGGUUGCCUAAGAGUGCUCUUAGUAUUAGAGGGGUCUACAUCACUCGGGGAAAUCUGGGGGUCGAGGAGAGUCUCUCUUAGCAUAUAGAGGUAUAAAUCUAUUUCUUCAUCACUCUCAAUAUCGAUAAUUUUUCCUUUUAAUUUUAACAUGGAGAAAACUAAAAACAAAUCCAAAGACUCGAACAAGAAAGCACAAUACAAGACAAAACAAUAACAACCAGAAGUUAGUUCAGAGGGCGAUACCUGGGAUGGUUUAGGGUUAAUAGAGUCAUUGUCGCAGUGAAAACGGCAGCAGAAAGAGAGUCUCCGGCGUAAAGAGGGCGCUUGAUUUCAAGUUAAAAAUCUUAGUAGAAAACGGAAGAACAAGUUUAAUGAAGUCCUCGAUUUAGGGAUUUUAUGAAGGAAAGAGAAAAGAAGCGUUUAAGUAACGCAUGUGUCAGUUUAAUCGAGAGCAAAGAAAUCACCAUUUCAAAUUUUAAAUACAUGGUGUAGGAAGUGCCACGUCGCAAGCAUUUAAAAUUAUAUGACAAGAAGUCAGAUCGGUAGUGUACUUGAGAACAUAGGUGUCUGCUCUAUACACAUUGCUCUUGCAGCUACAUACCACCUGGGCAGCCAAAUAAUUUAAGAACGCCACCUCGACUUUGCCAGAUCAGGAUUAGAGCUAGAUAACUUAACCUGCAUUAUUACCAUAAUUGUCUCCUAGUUUAUAGUCUUAGCUCGCUUCACUCACAAUACUAAAAAAUAGGGGGACUGAUGUUUAGGUGAUUAAAAGAGCACCAGUCGUACAUGAUUCAUUUGGUUGGGUGGAAUCUCCUCUGCUAUGUUUUGAUGAGCAGAUACAAUGGCACCAGAGCCCUCUUCGGUGUAAGCUAUAGGUCAACAAGACAAAUGUACUUAAAAAUCGAGCACCAUGCCAUAUUAAGGCGGCAGCUUCGCCACGUCCAAACCAUUCGAGGGAGGCACGAUAACCCAUGCACAAUUUUCCCAAUCCAUUUGAUCUAUGAUGGCCCGAAUAUAGAGGACGUGAGGGGAUGUUCAAGACACAAAGGGUCGUUGCCUAUAAAACCCCGAAAAAAGACAGGAAAGGGAAAAAGAAAGGAAAAAAACAAGGGGAAACUCUGCUAUUUUGGAUUCAGAACUCAUUUUCAUAAAGCCUUUAAAAAACUUUUCCUUCAUUUAACAAUUGUUAGCUUGGAUAGAUCUAUAGUCCAACAUUUUUCCCGAAAUCCUACAUACUGACUUAAGCAUCGGAGGGUUUUCGCCGAAAAAACCACCGGCACUUCUGAUUAAUUUCUAUGAGUGAAGGUCAGAAGAGAAGGAACGAGGUUGGUGUGGUCACAGAAUCCGCUCGUCAGGGGAAGGAACGAGCAACAUAACGCCCCAACCAGAGCUAACUUGAGCAUUGAAGAGACAACCUGGUCAGCCCUACAACAUGACUAGAUUUCUACAUCAACAAAUAUAUAGUUAUAUUUCACUAUAGCCAUGUUUGUGUGAAUGUGGCUUUUGAUUGUGAUAUGCUGAUUAAUGAUAAAAUUGCUUGAUUUCUUGAGUGUUUGAUAUCUAUUAUUGCUUGUUUGCCAUGACUGUAAUGAUUGAGUUGGAUUUUACAUUUUAUUAUUAUAGAUGAAGAACAAUAAUAUUGCCAACUCUACUGAAACUUCCAGUAAUGCACAACUUAUUAAGGCACAAUGGGAUGCAAAUACUCUAGUUAUAUUUUGUGAUUUGUGUAUUUCGGAAUUAGAGGUAGGAGGUCGCCUUGGAACUCAUUUUACUAGUGUUGGAAAUUAUGGAAAGAUUUUAUGGGGAAAGAAACUGGUCUAGGAUGGAAUCCCAUAUUAAAGACUAUUGAUGCUUCUGAAGAGUGGUGGCAAAAGAAAAUAAAGGUAUGAAUGCUGAUUAUUUUGCCACAAUAUUUUUUUGCUAUAUACAAAAUUAGUGUUUAACUUCAUACAAUGUACAUAUACAGAUGUAUCCCAAGGCAAGCAAGUUUCGUAAAGGAGGCAUUGAUAAAUAAUUAGAAGGGAAGUUGGACAGGAUGUUCAUGAACACUGCCGCCAUCGGAGAGCAUGCUUGGCCACCUUCAGCUGACAUCCUUCCAUAUGAAAAUAAUGAAGAGUUAGACAAAAAUGUCAUUCCAUUAGAAAGUAAUGGUGAUUCAUAUGAGUUCACUGAUCAAUUGGAAUUCGACAAAGGUAUUGAAAAUUUUGAGAAAUUGGUGGAUAAAAGAAAUGUUGAAAUACGUAAGAUAACAAAUAAAAGGGUGAAGAAAGUUAAAAAGGUUGGAUUAGGAGGGGCAAAGGUAGGAGGCGAUACGAAAUUAUCACAACAUAUUGACUACCUUAUAAAUGUUGUUGAGGAUAAAAAAAAAAUGAUAUCGUCAGCUAUAGUACUCUUGAAGUGAUGCAAAUGGUUGAAUCUUUACCUGGAGUGGAAGUUGGAAGCGACUUAUGGUUAUUUACCACUCUACUCUUUUUAUCUAAAGAGAAGAGAGAGAUGUUUUCUGUCACGAAAGACCCAGAGACGAUGCUUAAAUGGCUUCAUUUUGAGAAAUCACCGACUUAUAAUCUUUGAAACAUGUUAUUGUAGUAAUCUUAUUAAAUGAUGCUAGAUUUUCCUUUAGGCUUUUAGAUUUUAGUUUCUUUUAGGAAUAAGGUGCUUUAUGAACAAUUAAUUUUAUGAUACUGUUUUCAUACUACUUUUCAUCAGACAUUAGUUAUCAUAAUAAUUAUGAAUGGUUUUUGUAAUUGUUUAUAACAUCAUUUUAUCUUUACUUUUUUUAAAAAAAAAUUUGUUGCAUGUUUAGUGAUACUUUUUAAAUAAUUGUUUAUAGGUUUAUUUUAGAAAUUGAUACAUCUGAUGAUGAGGAGUUCGACCAAAUUGUAUGCGUAUCUGCACUUCUUAUAGAAGACUAUUAUCUCAAAUACAUUUAUGAACAACCAUGUAUGAAAUCUAUACAAACUGGAAAUAUGUGGUUGAAGGAAGUAUUAGAAGGAAAUGAUAAUCGAUGCUAUAGGAUGUUUAAAAUGGAAAAGGCUGUAUUUUUUAAAAUUAUUUGCUGAUCUGGAAACAAAUUAUGGGCUACAAGGUUCAAGAAGAAUGGGCGCUGCUGAGAGUUUAGGAAUGUUUUUGCACACUUUGGGACAUGGGGUUGGAAACAGGUUAGCACAAGAACGAUUUCAACACUCAGGUGAAACUAUUAGUAGAUAUUUUAGCCAAGCAUUAGAUGUUGUAUGUGAAACUAUUAGUAGAUAUUUUAGCCAAGCAUUAGAUGUUGUAUGUAUAACGGUAAUUGAUAUAAUAAAGGCAGAAGAUCCUGAGUUUAAGGAAGUUCCUAAAGAAAUACUGAGAGAUUCAAGAUACAUGCCCCACUUUGAGGUAAUUAAAAAAUGUAUUUAAUUUUUGUUUUACAAAGUUACAUAUUAGCAAUGAAUAUGUUUUCACGCUAUUAUCAAGAUUGUACUGGUUCUAUAGAUGGUGUGCAUGUUCUUGCCACAAUAUCCCUAGAAGAUCAAGUACCAUAUAUUGGUAGAAAAGGAAUACCGACUCAAAAAAUAAUGGUUGCAUGUAGUUUGAUAUGCAAUUUAUUUUUGCACUUGCAGGUCGGGAAGGUAGUGAACAUGAUGUAAGGAUUUUUCUAACAACCCCUACAAUGAAUUUUCCAAAGCCUCCCAAAGGUGUUUUGCUUUUUUUUUUUUUUUUCUUUCUUAAAUAUUUAAUAUUUUCUUUACAAAGUAUUUAAGUUGAAUUAAAAUUUAAUGUUUUAAAAUAUUAUUAUACAAAUUCACAUGUUUUUUAUUCAACAGGAAAAUAUUACUUAGUGGAUGUGGGGUACUCCCAAAUUAGUGGUUUUUUAGGUCCAUAUAAAGGUGAAAGAUACCACCUUCCAGAGUUUCGUCAAGGUACUAAACCCAUAGGUUAUCAAGAAAUAUUUAAUCAUGCUCACUUAUCGCUUAGAAGCAUUAUUGAACGCGCAUUUGGAGUAUGGAAGAAAAGAUGGAAGAUUUUAAGAGAUAUGCCCAGCUAUUCAUUUUCCAAACAAGUGAAAAUAGUCAUUGCAACCAUGGCAUUGCACAAUUAUAUAAGGAGACAUGCGCAACGUGAUCUUCAUUUUGACAACAUUGAAAAUUAUCCUACUUCAAUCUUUGAUGAACGAAUAAAAAGAGGCAAAUAACACUUAAGAAGAGUAUCAUAAUACUAAUGGCUCUGGAUCCCAAGAAAUGAAAAAUUUGAGAAACUUUAUUGCAAAAAAUUUAUUGUAAAUGUAAUACAUAUUGCUUUUUGUUUUAUUUGGAUUAUGUAUAAGUAUGAAUUUUUAUCAUAUUUUAUGUAACAGAUUAUGAAGUUCUUUAGAUUUUUUUAAUUGAGUUUUUUUUAAUGUAAUUUUACAUGUUUAUGAAAAAAAAAGAUAUGUCUAAACAAUUUAUUAAACAUACUCUAAAAAUAAUAAGUAAUUAAAAUGUCUAUUUUAAUCAUUAUAUAAUAAAACUGCACGUUUGUAAUAAAAUUUACUAAACGCAUGUAUUUUACUUUUCAAACUCACAACAACCGCAACAACACAGUUUACUAAACACCAAGCUACUUUUUUAAUCAGCAGUUGAUUUUAUCUGCACAGCACAAGCAGGUUAUUUCAUCAUUCUUCGCAAUCUCAAACUAACCCUUAAAUCCACAUGAAAAUAAGGACUAAUAAUCCCAAUAGAUUUGGACUUAUUUACUAAUUCUAAUAGCCAAACAUGACAUAGGAUAAGAUUAAUUUUUUAGUCCCAAAAUUAAAUCCAACCCCGCAACUUAUCCAUGUUUUUGGGAGAACUUUUUUUUUUUAAUAAGCUCUGAAGAUGUUAUUUUUUCCCCCCUUUUAUUGCUCUUUGCCACGUGGUGUAUUAGCAUGACACACGAGUUCACUCAAAAAUCAAAGAAUCAGAGCCAAUUAGAAUGAAAAAAAGGAGCAAAAAUAAGAAAUUGAGGUUGAGAGAAAUAAAGGAAAAUAACUAAAAAAGAAAAAGAAAAAUUAAAAUGGAUAAGGAAGAAAAGCCGAGGAGAGGGAGAAUUAAAAAAAUAAAAAUAAAAAAUGGUGGGUUUUUAACUUUUUCAUGCUAAAAAAUGAAUACUCUUAACAUCUUUAUUUAACUUAAAACAAAAUAAGUUAUUGAACACCCUUUUUUAAUUAAAAAGAAAAAGUAAUUACGGAUAAUUUAUAUUGAGAAAAUAUUUGGGGUUAACUUUAGUUUACCCCAAUAAUUGUUUUUCUUAUUGUUAGAUUUCAUUGAUAUGGGUAUAGAUUAAUUAUAAGAAAAGGAAAUGUGCACAAGAGAAUGAUAUCAUAUUGGUUGCUAUAAGGUCCACUGGGUUACACAUAAGAUAUUCGAAUCUGAUUAAUAUAGAAUAGUAGAAUUGAAAUGUAGUUGUUAUGACCACGCCUUUUCCCUUCCGGCAAGAAAUUUCGGUGCCGAAUCCUUUAAAUUUGGUUCGAGUAUCAGUGUCAUUGACUGCUCAGUGGCCUUGUAGCAGUCUGCAUUUGUCACUAAAAUACUUAACGUAAGCCCUACGGAAGGAAAAUGGACUCAGUUGCCUGCUUCAUGCAAAUAAUUGUUGACAUGUUUGCUUGUUUGAUUAGGUGAAAAAGAUAAAUUUGUAUCAUUUUAGCAAAGCACUACUCAAGAAUCGAGAGACUGGAAGAAACAAAGGCCGAUGAUAGAGAGAGACCCAAAAAAAAAAAAAAAAAAUAGAGAACAAAAAUGUAUUGGAUAUCUAAAAUGAAAUACUAUAACUUAGAGGGUAACAAAAUUUUCUGAAGUUUGAGAAUUUAUGUUUUAAUUAGAUAUGUGUUAAUUUUUGUAUCACUCAUAGCCUAUAAUUUUUGAACCCCUUAAGAGAUGUUUCCAAAACAAAGAAUCCAUGUGAGUCAAAAUUGAACCGCAGUUAAUUUUGGAUAUAUGAGUUGGAUUGCUUUAAAUUUGCACAGGAAAGAUAUAAUAUAUUAUUCUAAAUACAUUGAUUAACUUAUUUAUUUACCUGAUGAUGGUUGAAAAUAAUCAAAAUGACGUAAGUAGUACAUUAAUAUUUAUUUUAUACGGAUCUUAUUUUUCCUUACCUUACUAUCAUCCUUAAACUUAAUGCCAUCGGCCACAACACCAAAGUCCUUGACGUUGAAAACUCUGUUGGUUGCAUCGAUACCUUUUACCGAAGUAAUAAACAAAACUAGUAUUGAAAAUGCUUGCUGGGAGUAGGAGCUGAAACCCAUUUUAUGACUGAUUGAAGUGAAAGUGAUUGUAUAUUCUGAUAAAUUUGAGCAGACUUUUUUAUUUUUUUUAAUGGUAGAUCGAUCAUUGUAGAGAAAUUUAUAAGGCAGUGCGAAUGCAGUUCCUUCACUAAUUUGGNNNNNNNNNNNNNNNNNNNNNNNNNNNNNNNNNNNNNNNNNNNNNNNNNNNNNNNNNNNNNNNNNNNNNNNNNNNNNNNNNNNNNNNNNNNNNNNNNNNNAAUUAUAAGAAUUCUGCCGAAAAUUCAGUAGAGUUUCCUUUAUAAAUAUAACAUUCUCAAUCUGCAAAUAUGAAUAUAACAUUGCCCAAAAAAAUUCAAUAUACAACCAAGUUCAAUGAUCAACAUCCUCAACAAAAAUAUUAAAUUUUACUCAAAAUAUCUCCAAAGUAUCAAAAGAUUAUAUUAUAACUAAUAUUAAUAUACAUCAGUUUAUUCUUAAUCCCAAAAGAAUAAUAUAACAAAUUUGUACAAUCUCAAAAGAGUGAGAUGAUCAAGAUGUCCUAACAAAAAUCAUCUAUAUCUUUUAACAUAAUCACGUGUGGCCAAGACUCAAAAUAUAUUUACACUCGUUGGGUGGGUUUGGUGUACCUGCAAUCUUCUGGUGGGGAGAAAUAUAAUAAAAACGGGAUGAGUAUAAAACUCAGUGAGCUUAGUGAGUGGAUAGUAAUUUUUGAAAAUAAACCCGUACUUUAAAAGAAAUAAUCAUAUCAUUUCCAAACACAAUUUCAUCAAACCAUAUGCGAAAAACCAAUAAUAAAUCAUUUAACAUUUAAAUCAUAUUACUAACCUUGAAAAACAUAUAUAAUAUCAUAUCUAAUAACCAUGGAAAUCAUAUCACAAUAUCAUAUAGAAUAUACAAAUCUAAAAAUCAUCACCAAACAAGUACCUAAGGGAAUAAUCUUGUCGUAUCUAGACCUCAACGGACGGGCAAUGAUGUACUAUCUAGGUACCGUCACGCCUCGGAGCUACACGAAUAAACAUGUAAAUACCAUCUCAUAUCUCAUCAUAUCUGUGCAUGCAUAAUCUAGUCCCCAAAUGACAAAAGCGCCAAGCACACGGCCUAAAACCUCUGUGUGUAUUCAGACAGGCCCCAAAGGCCUAUAUCUCAUCUGUAUGUCAGUAUCUAUCUGUAUCUCAAUAUCUGUUUGUAUCUCAAUAUCUAUAUCUCUGUAAUCAUCAUACUGCAUGCAUAAGCCCCCCAAAAAGCAAAAGCGCCCAAACACACCGCCCAAAAUCUCUAUGUGUGUUCAGAUGGGCCCCAAAGGCCUCUCAUCUCAUUUGUAUCACAGUAUCUGGAGGGAAGGCUAUUGUCCAAUGAUUUUAAAAACAAUCUCUAUACUCAUAUUCAUAUACAUUCUAAUCAAUACUUUAAAUCAUACCUUUCUUUUCAUUAUCACAUUUAAAUCCACUUUUCUCAUCUUUAAGAUACUAUCAUAUUUUAUUCAAGUUGAUACGGAAAAUCAUUAACCAAAUAUUUUAAUAUAAUAUCAAUGUGUGAAUAAAAUUCAUUUCGAGAAAAUUAUUAAAUCAAAACAUUUAAAAUACUUAUUUCGCAAAUAUGCUUUACUAUCAUAAUUAACUAUGAAAAUAAAUUUUGUAUAUUCCACUCACAGUGACGAUGUUUACACUCAGUUAUCGUCCACGUCUGCGAAUUGGUUCUCGCUCGGGAAUCCUCCCAAAUCAAAGAAACAAUAUAAUUAUUUUUCGUAAAUCAGAAUUAUGACUAAAUUUAUGCAAUAAAAACGAAACGAACAUCUAUCCAUAAUUUACAACUCCCGUGUCGAUAAAAUUACUAAAAUACCCUCGAGUCUGUAAUCAUUAAAAUAUUCUAAAAUCGUAAAUCACCAAAUUACCCUCGGAAUCGUAAUGACACCCAAUCUUCAAUUUCAGAAAUUACUAAAAUAUCCACAGGUUCAAAAAUUACAAAAUUGCCCUCAAAAUGUGAAAUUACCGGAUUGCCCUCGCGGAUCAACGUUCGUUGCCCAAGAAGCACAUGUUAGACACUUUUGGCCACGCUGAGUUCAGUGGUACCUGCAGUGAACUCUAACGCGCGGUGACGGCAUCAGAACUUAGCUCAACAACCACGAAACUCUAACAAUUGGCUGGCGGCGAAACAAUGACUCCCGGUGGUUGUGGAUGGUCGGGAAUUAAAGAAGGAGUCAUGGGGAACAAAACUGAGGUGGUGGCGUGGUCAAAUUCCGGUAGAAUCAACGGCGGUGGUGAUGAGUUUUGGCUGCGAUUUCUCAAACUUGAAACGGCGGCGAUGAGCGGAAAUGACGGCUGGGGUGUGAUCAGUGUCUCACGGGCUUCCGAUUGAUACCUUGCUAGACCGGUGAGGUGGCCGGAAUCGUGAGACACAAUCGGGUCAGGUUCGUGGGUCGGGUCGGGGUUCGGGUCGGUUUACAGCUUCUUUCACUUUCUCACACGUGUAUAUAUGUUCCUCUGUUUCCAGCUUCAUCUUUUACUUUUAUUUACUUUUUAACCGCCUCACCCUUUUUUUUCUCCCACAUAUGUUACAACUUUGGGAGUAACUUCCUUAUAAUAUAAUGGUGGCUGUAAAUUGUUUCUUUGGUCCAUCACUUACAUAUUUCACAAUCCAAUUCUCGCUUUAUACGGUUGCCAUCUCAGGGACAAUAAUAUCUUUGAUCAUAUGUCUCCUGCUAGUUGAGUCUCCUAAUUUUUCUUCAUGAAAUAAGUGAACCGAGAGCCGCUAGCUACUCCAAUUUCUAUAAGGAUUUUGUUCAAUCAAGUAACAAUUUAUCUAUUCAAAAAUAAUCUUUCAUGUAUUAUAACUAAAAUUACAACUAAAAAUAUAAAAAAAAUAAUUAUAGAAUUGAAACGGAUUUGUAGUAUUUGUCAAUUAGCUGAGACAAGGCUUUUACAAUCUUUUAUCACACGUGUGUUUAUAGAUAAAAAGAACUUAAUUACAUAUAAUUUUUAUUUUUAAAACCUUGGAAUUCAACGUAGUUAGGAUUUUGUAUUUUGCACUUUCCCAACUUGGGUUCGGGCAACUUAAUAUCCGGAGUCCCAGUAGCACUAGCACAAAGUAGUCAUUCAUAAUCAUUAACAUAAGUAAGUCGGAUCCACACAUAUCGUUAUACUGAUCAUCGUCUAAAGUUCUAGCUAAAUUAUAUAUUUAAUUAACUCCCUCUCUAGAUACUUCGAUUUUGGUAUCCUGGAUUUUGAUUUCGAUUGAUCUUGAAGAUGGCGGAUGAACAAUCAACAGCAACCAGCACUAAUGCAUUGAGGAUCAACUUUGUAUCAGAAGAACAAUUGGAUGAAGCCAAAAAGACAAGAGGCGAAAGAGUUGAAGAGGGACAGCACAGAGAGAGGCCUCUUCACGAGAUACUGAACGAGAACAAAGCCAAAAAGAAAAAGGAUCUCGAGGACCGCCGGAAGCACAAGCCUCCGAAAUCCUUGGACGAAGACGAGGCCCAGUUUCUUGAUGGAUGGGAGUCGUAUAAGAAGGAAAAAGAGCGGCGGCUUGCUGACCAAGAGGCCCUGGAGCUUCGGCGUUUUAGGGCAGCCGUGGCAUCACAAUGUGUUGCUUCCAAGGAAACAUUAAUAAGCCAUGACGAUGAUCAUCAUCAACAAAGAGUAAUUAUUGGGAAGAAGAAUCCAGCGUCUCGUCCCUUGAGCUCGAUUAUGAAAGUGAUGCCGCUGGCAAAGAAACCUAAGAAAGAUGUUCAGAUUGUGGCAGCAGAAUCGUCUUCAGAUACGAUGAAAAAAAUUGAUGCGGCAGAAAAAUCUCCGGAACCUGCAGUGCUGAAAAGAAAUAGGGGUGAUGCUGAUCAUAAUAAAUGCCCUGUAACAAUAAGUCUGGUUUCAUACGGUUCUGAUAGCGAAGAUAAUCAUUGAUUAGCAUAAUAUUUGUUUAUAUUGUUGCUCAUAUUCUGGAAAGCUUUGCCUUUCGUUGUUCUUCCCGUAAUCAAUUGGAAAUAUUAAUACAUACUUAAUUUUUUUCGUUACUGAUAUUACAAUCAGAUAAUUCUUGAAAUUAUUCUACAUAAAAUCUAUGAAUCACAACUUAGAUUUUCAACCCUCAUUAAUAUUUGAGAAAUACAUAUUGUACUUACAUUUCAUAAAGAAAAGAACUGUCUCUACUCAAUUUGUUCUUUAAUCAACUCAAUCAAGUAGUUGGUUUUUCUUUUUUUUUCUUUUGCAAGUGACAAGAAAGUCCACAUGGCUUGUAUUUACCAUCUUGAUGCAUUUUCUUUUAUUUAUAUUGUAAGAGGUGGUUAAUUUUGGAUUACUCUUUUGUGAAAUAAUAAUUUUCGAAAUAUUCUCAAAUUUAUUGUAAAUCUCAACUUUCCUCCUAUUUUUCUAAAGAAAGCAAAAACAAUUUCGUUAACCCACCCUCAUUUUUCACUUAUCAGUUUGGCAGUGUUUUAAAGAUUGUUAUUUCACAAGAAAUAUUUGAAAACUUAACCAUAUUAAAAUUAUUAAUACAAUACUUUCUAGUUUGUAAUAUCCCUAAAGAUUUCAUUCUAAGUAAUAUGGUGGUAUUCUAAGUAAAGGUGAAAUAAAAUUUCUCAUUCUAAUAGAUAAAUGACAUAUGACUUAAUAAAUAGGCUAAUUAUAAAGAUGAAUAAAAUAAAAGAAAUUAUAAAGGUUAUUCACAUUUUUCUCACUUUUGUUGAAAUAUUACACCAUGGUGCAAACUGACAUAAAUUGUCACAAAGUUAUAAGAAUCAUAAAAUUACAAACCAACAUGUGGGAAUUUAUUAAUUUGGAGAGUUUAUGACUGUACAAGUUAAAAUGUUGAUUGAGAACUUAUAUGGUAUUAUUGAUAUUAAGUGAACCUCACGGAUUCCCAUGAAAUUAUCCCUCACAAUUAAUUAUUAUGAAUAGAAAAAUAGCGAGCGGCCGGCGGUGCUGGUGCUCGACAGGAGCAUGCGAUGACGCCUCUUUUGUUCCAAACCAUUCUCCAUCAAACAAGAGUGCGGCUUCUCACAGAGCAUAAAUAUCCUUAAUCUUCAAACAAACAAUUUAGCCAAGCAACAAGCCAGAAAGUCCCAACAAAAAAUGGAGGCUCUCUCAAGAAUUAGCUUCUUAACAAACUACACUCACUCUCAUUUCCCAAUAUUCUCUCCACUUCCUCAUACCCAGACGCCGCUUUCCAAGAAAACAUCACCAACAUUCUCUUCUUCUCUCUUAAGAACAAGCAGUCGUCCAGGUCAGUCACCACCCCUUUUUUGUGACGCUUCUAAUGCUACCCAGUCAAUUCCAAUUCCAGUUUUUAUGUUUUUAUUACUUCUCAGUGUGUGAAGUUGCUGAAGAGGAUGUUCUGCAAAUGUUCUUUAAAGAUAGAGAAUUGAAUGGUGACUUUAUUUCCAAAACUUCUGAUAUGUUUUGGCUGACGGGGGCUCUGAAAUUUGUUGACUUUGAUGCUGAUGCUGGCAAAUUUGCUGACAAUUCUGAACAAGCUCACCAGGUGGCUUACUUGAUUCUGAUUCAUAAGAAUGUAUCGUAUUCUUCUUUCUUUCUGUUUUUUUUUUUUUUUUGGGAUAUGCAAUUGCCAAUUAGAAUUUCGCUUCGUGUUCUCUGUAGUGGUAUAGAAGUAUGAUAAUUUCGAACAAUUCUGGUUUAUAGAGCAUCUUUCUCGGUACUUUUUGUGGUUCUUAGAGUCUCUUAAGUUCUGACUUUGGAGUAUGGACUCUGGAAUGGUUCUGUCACUAAUAAUGCAGCAAUUUAGCUGUUUCAAUGAGAAAUCUUCCGAAAUUAUUUAUUUAUUUAGUUUCAUGAGUGUCAAAUAAGAAGUUACUGAAUAAUGUAGUUAUGCCAAGUUGGGGGGAAAAAAACAAAUUGAUUCAUUCAAUAUCUUGAAGGAUUUUCAAACUUAGCCAAGCCUGUGUUCUGUUAGAAUUAGCAGUAGCUUGUAUACUCUCCUUUCUAGGCUUUUAUGAGAAAUAAAUUACCGCCCAAGGUGCAGCUCCUUAUUACAAUUGAGGCUUAGACUGGGGUAGAACUGGUGUUUAUAGAAGGAGGACUCAUUCGGUCCCAGUGUUGUUAAAAAGCUCCAUUGAAAUUUCAAGCAGUUGACGAUGCAGAUGCUUUAUUCUGAUCUCUCAUAUAUCACCUCUUCAGCAUUAAACUGUGGCAUCAACUCCACUCUCGACGCAUUUAUGAAUUAAAGUGCGUACAUAUUUCCAUACUGGUUUUAGCUACUCUCUGCUUUAAGGCUCCUCAAUUUAAUUGCUAAGUGUAUGACAUUCUGUUUGUUUUAUUCUGGUGUCUUAGGUGAUUUAGCUUGCUUGUGCUUUUAUUGAUGGUACUAAUAGUUGUAGGUCAUAGAAAGUGACAAUGAUGAUGGAUUUUUGAAAUUACUGAAAACCCAUGAGUGGCUAUUAGGUGACAACUCCGCACCAAUAAAUAAGAAACCUUCUGCUAAGGUAUGCUUUUUCUUGGCUAUCAUUAUAUUAUAAUGGGCUUGCUUGUAAACACUCUUUCCCAUCUCUUCAUCCUUCUUCCCUCCCUUUCUCCCAAUUUCAGCAAAGUAUGGGAAUUUGUUUUAAGUUUUAUAUCUGCAAUUUCAUACUGCUAACCAAUGCAUGUAAAUACAGGCUUUGCAGGAUGACAGUGAAAGAAGGAAGAGACUGAACCUUCUUAAAUAUGAAGCUGUAUGAUACCUUUCUUCAAAUUGGUAUUUCUCAUGGUUAAUUGGUUGUUGAUGGGAUGUCAAUGCCUGAAAUUGGGAUCUUUCUGUUCAGUUCUAGCUCCAUUAUUUCUUUUAAAGUUAGAUUCUCCUUACAUUUGAAAUAUAAAUUGUUUGUAGUUAUCUAACUAACUUUGAAAAAACUGAUUAAUAAAUGAACAUAUUGUAUAAAUAUGUGCAAGGGCGGACUGGUUUCUCUCCUUUUGGUUCUAGGCCUAUGAUUUCAUUAUAUUUAAAUCUGUAACUUUAAUCUUGUGAGCUGAAUGAGCUGAUGCUCACCAUGUGACUGUAUUUUGGUUAAAGGUUGUUCAUAAUUUUCUGUUGGCAAAUGGCAUUUCAAGAGAUGUCUGUUUUCAAAUGAAGCUGCAAAUUUGGUUACCUAAGCUUCUGUUUUGAAACCAAUAUUUCUCCAAUUGGAUCUCCAAGUAACCAGGAUAGGACCUAAGGGAUUCAGUUUUAUGUUAAAGUCAGUAAUAGAACUAAGGGUUCGCAGACUGGGUGUGUUCCAGGAUGCUUUUAUUUUUAUAUUUAUAUUUGUUGGUUUUGAAAACUACUGUUGGAGUCCUACCUAUCUGCUUAACUUUUAGUGGAGCUAGUUUGAUCAAGCUGUCUUGUAUUUGGAUUUUCUGAUGUGUUACUUUCAUUAUUAGAACAUUGAGUUUGCUUCUUGUUCUAGCAAUGUUCCUGUUAUGUUUGAUUUACAUGCCUUGCAUGCGAGGUACGUGUUAGAUUCUGUAGUCUUAGCCUCUUAUCUCUCAGCUUGAACUUUUAGGUUGUGUUAUUACCUAAAAGCUAGCUUCUGCAACAUGGUACCACAAAAGCUGUUUACGAUGCUGAUUUUCGUACUUUGAUCUUGCAGCUGAAGAGGGAACUGAUGCUCUUGUCAGUUGGCAUUGGAACUGCCUGGAGUGGGUAUUGUUUGAUAACGCUCUCAGUCCAGGUAAUAUCUCACAGAAAAGUAAAGCACCAGUAUUUCAAGUUUAAAAAAUGUUUUAUAUCAGACCUUUCUCUAGCCUCUUUAACGGAAGUAUGGAUUAGAAAUGAAUGAGGAUUUGGUGACAAUGGCUCAAACCUACUUUUUAUUAUAUUUUUAUAUAUUUUCAGUAUUUGACUGUACAAAUUGCAACAGAGUAGGCAAAUUUUUUUUUUCUUCCCUACUCUAUUGGAAGGAUUCACUUUUUUUUUUUUUGAAAAAAAAAAAUGUAAAGUAAGAUAUUCAUGAAAUAUUGUAAAUUUUGGGCUUACAUAGAAAUGACCUUGUUAAUUUUACAGGCGGCUUUUAGCUAUGUGGUUGGAGUUCUUUUCAGGUAAGCUGAUGUUUUUAUUUUUCAUAUAUUUAUUUAUGGUGUUUUUUGAUGGGAAACAUAAAACUUUUUAUUAAAAAGAAAAACAUUACAGAAAGUGAACAAGGAGUCCACAAAGAAAGAACCCCUAAAGAUCACAAAAAGUCUAUAUAGUUCAAUGCUGAUAAUAUGACCAAAUAAUUAUAGGAUCUAUAUGACUAAAUGAUCUCAUAACAAAAACAAAUCCAAAGCACUGAGCUAAGCGAACACUGCUUCCAGUUUAGACAAAUGAAGAAGAAAGAAGAAUCUUGAAAUUCCUUUCUAAUGACACCCAAAGAAAAGCUAGUAAUCCUACUCUUUCCCACAAAAAGAUGAUGUCUUCCUCAGAAUCUUCAAAGCGUCCUUCAAUUUCUUUCAAGCCAAUUCACCAAAUAAGUGGACAUAACUGAACAUUUCUGUAACACUCUAGCUUCUCCCACCCCCCACCACCCCUCCGCCCAAAAGCAUAAAUAAUCUCUGAAAGCUGAGAAAUGCUAGAAGCUGGAAUAACUAAAGAAAUUCUAGCUGCCUGAAACAAUGACCACCAUUGUGACAAUGCAAAAACAAAUGAUUUGUACUUUUGCCAUUUCUUUGCCCCAGAUAAGCACACAUUAGGAUUCGUCUUUGAAUAAUAUAGUUUACCUGAAGCCAAGGACCAGACAGAAAGUGGAACUUUUAUUAGGGUCUUUAGCAUUCCGAAUCACUGGGUAAGUUGAUCUAUUUUCACUGAGGUUAAUAUCUGUUUUUUUUUUUUUUGAGAAGAAGGUUAAUGUCUGUUAAAUUAAUAUGUUGGUGAGUCGGUUGUCAAAUUCUAAGCUCGGUGCUGAGUCCUAGUUUUUGAGCUAUGAUUCAAAUGAAAGGUUUAUGAAUAAUAGCAAUACUAAAUAGUGCGAUCAGUUAUCUAAAAGAAUGGUAGAUUCUACUGCCAAUAAUACCAAUAUACCUGGUGAUUUGGACGGAACUUUUUGAUCCAACCUUUUACCUGCCAAUAAUGUAAAAAUAAGUGUAUAGAGAUAUUAUAAUGCAAGGAAGCCAUGAUAAUGUAAGAUGUAAAGUUUCCACCAAAAAUUACUGUUAGUCGUCCACAGGAUUUUUUGGCCUAAAAAAUCAAUAGCUGGAGAAAUGGUCCAUGGGGAUAGAUAUCUUCUAUAAAGUAUUCUCAACUUAGUAGACGCCCUUGAGUGUUUUCUUUGUGGAGGAGUUAUUUUAUUUGGUCUAAUUGGGACUCCAAAGAGCUCAAAGAAUUUAAAGAUAUCGCUCAUUUUCUAGUUUAGGGAAGCGAAAAACUCCGAGAACUCGAGCAGUGCUUUUAGCAACUUUUUUGACAGAAAACUGAAAAAAAGGUUUAUUAACAGCAGGAGACCAUCUGUUCUUAUUACUGAUCCUAAUUCUGGUAGUUUAACAAACCUCAUUUCCAGUGCAGUUGCUUGUACCUUUAGCUCUUAUUCCAACAUGCAGACCGUCUGUCCAAGGAAAUGGUUCCUCAGAUUUUCAUGCAAAAGAAGUCCAAGGAGUACAGAUUAAAUCUUCUGCCCCCCUUUUUUUUGAAAUUUAAUGGCAUCUUUGUAGCUAAGUUGUUUUCUGUCUCCUCCUUGCAUAAGCAAACAUUUCUUUUUCUUUGGUAGAAUUGGAAUAAGAAGCGAGGACCUUAAGUACUUCUUAGAGAGAUCAUUCAAGGGAAGUAGCCUUGCUCUUUCAUCUCCAAGGCUUGUAAUCCCGGCUACAAUAUAUGGUUUGUGGGUUUUGUCUCAUCGGUAUUUUGCCAAUGCCUUCUUUGAUUUCCAGGUAGCAAUUAAAAUAAUUUUUAGUGUUGUCUGCGGCUGUUUGUAUAAGUUUUCAAAUUGAUCAUGAAGCCCUAAAAUUGCUAACAUAAAUUGUGUUUAUUAAUUUUCCCAUUAUCACAGAUUGUUGCAGCCAUGUUUGGCAUGCUUGUAUAUAAGGCUGCCGCCAUUGUUCAAGUUUACAGAGACAAUGAAGACUUGCAAUUGGUAUUUCCAGAAAAUGAGGAAACUUCAAGUGACUGAAAUUAUCCAUAUUAGUAUUCUCUUGGAGUAUUUCAUCUUGAUUCUGAAAUAUUUUCAAGCAGAAAGUACUUCCCAAAGACUAAUUUGUAUGGGCUACCAUCAAGCUUCUAGUGGAAAAAGCGCCCAAAAAAUCUAAGUGGAAUGAUUCAGUUUCUCGAAUAGCUCUAUGGGCCAAUUUGACUGGUUAAAUUUGAACUUCAGAGACUUGUAGGCUACUAUCAGGCACGCCUUCCAAACUCCUACAACUUUUAUGCCAAUCUUUUAAUUGCCAUGAGAUGAUGACUGCUUGAAAAAAAUAUAUAUAUAUUGUUGUGAUGAUAGAUGAUAUGGAACCAUCCGAGUUUGUAAUACUUGCACAGUUUAGGGCCUUUUGGCAAGAUAAGGUUGAUAAAUUUGAGUUAUCAGUAAUCAUUUGUAAUGGGAUGUCAAUCCUCAAAAUUGUUUGCGAGAGUAUGGGUAAACUAUUAGCAUGUAUGCGGCAAUAAUUUGAAUUACAAAUUUUGUGGCUCAACUGUGAUUUUAGUGACUCAACUGUGAUUCCUCUUGGAAGCAUCCUUCACCUUGAUCUAGUCUUUAUUAGAUUCAGCUCUAUGUUUCUCUGAUUGCACGAACAAAUUAGCAAUGUAGGAUGAAGUUCAUCCGAUGAAAGAACAAUUUUCUUUAAGAGGAAGAAACAUAAAUUUUAUAUAAAAGAUUGAACUAUCAAAUCAACAGCCCUCCCAUUUAGUUCUAUUACUUUUGCAUUUAAUUCAAAAAUCUGGACCCUUGCUAAGUUGAGCUAAUUUGUGAAACUUGGUUUGAAAAUUUGUAAAAUUUUAGAGGCCGCCAAUGUAAAAUCCUUCCCCUCUAUUGUAUAAUACUUCAUUUCUUAUCUGCAGUAUAUAGAACAAUAAUUUAAAAAAAUUACAUAAAAUAACACAAGGGAAAACAUGAAAAAAUCUAGUAACAUUUUCUUACAAAGUAGCAAAAUCUAUCCACAAAGCCAUCCAAGAAAUGACCGUACUUGUAUCUCCAUCUCCUGUUGACAAGUAGAGGGCCAAUGAAACACCAAAACCCCACCACAAAUCCAAGUGCCAUGCUUGCGUACAACAACCAAUCCACUUCAUCUGCAUCUUCAUCUUCGUUUCCAUUUCCAUUCGGAACUUCAGGUGCAAAAGUAUUCUUCUCUGUACAAUCAGGAAGUGGCGCUCCACAGAGAUCAUUACCGGAAAAACAAGAUGCACCAAAGCUUUGCAACUGAGUGCUUGAAGGAAUUUGCCCAGACAAGUCAUUUUCUGACAGGUUCAAGUGAUUAAGAAAUGAUAAACUUGACAUACUUGGAGGAACCCUACCAAAAAGUCGGUUUGUUGAGAAAUCAAGGGAUUCAAUUGAUCUCAUAUUUCCAAUCUUCUCUGGAAUUUUUCCUACGAAAAAGUUGUGUGAUAAAUUCAAGGUUUGCAAUCCUUCAAGAUUUGUCAAUUGCAUAGGUAUUUCUCCUGAGAAAUUAUUCUUGGAAAUAUCAAUGCUUCUUACCAAAUUAAGAAUGGAGUUGUAUUCAACCAAAAGCCCUUUUGUCACAACGGAUGCAUCCUCAAAGACAAUAUUGCCUCUCGUAACAAAGUAAUAUAUAGCGUUUUUCUGAUUAGAUGAGUUUAUUGUCGCCAUAGCAGUGAAGUUGUUGAUACAUCUCGGUAUGGUCCCUGAGAGAUUGUUAUGUGCAACAUCUAAAAUCCGUAGAAAAGUUAGAUGACAAAGUUGAACUGGCAAAGAUCCAUUAAAUUUGUUUGAUCGAAGAUUGAGAAUCAACAAUCUUGGAAAUCUUUCUCCCACCCAUGUCGGAAUGCUGCCGAAAAAGUCAUUUUCUCCGAUGUCAAGAGAUAUCAAACUCGAACAAUUCUUAAGUGACACGGGAAAUAUUCCAGCCAAUCGAUUAUUGCGAAGGUGCAAUGACCUAAGAGAACUUAAAGUUCCAAUUGAGAUUGGAAGGUUACCAGUAAAGUAAUUGUCAUCUAAAUUCAGCACCUGCAAAUGAGGCCAAUUCAUCCAACAAUCUGGUAUGUCUCCAGAAAAGUAAUUUUUUGAGAGUUUGAGAGAAAUGAUCACCGACUUAUUAUCCCCGUUACAUAUUAAAUGAAUAAUAGACCCCGAUAAAGCAUUAUUAGAAAGAUCAAGUAAACCAAACUCGAAAGGUUGAUAAGGCAAUGGACGGUGAUCAAAAUAUGGAAUAACACCGUAGAUUUGAUUGUUUGAGAGAUUCAGCUCCUGAUAAUGGGAAGAAUUCCAAAACCAACGAGGAAUAGUUUAUUAAAAUACAAAUUAUUAUUAAAAUAUAUAUAAUAAUUUAUAUUUUGAAAAUUAUUUUGUAUAUUAAAAAAUUUUAAUAUUAUUUGACUAAUAGAAAAAUUAAACUACUUAAAUUAUAUUUAUAUUUAUUAAAAAAUUAAAGCUAAUUUUUUUAAUUACUUUUUACUAAUGGUAUUAUAGUCAAAAGAAAGAUUUGCCAAGGGUGAAUCAUUUGCUGCAACUCAAGAAAAGCCAAUAAAAUUCAGUUUUAGUUCCCUUACCAGCACAAAACCAAUUGAAUCAAAUUUGUUUCUCUCUCUCUCUCUCUUUUGUAGUCUCAUCUAUACAGUUAAUUUGCUCAAACUUGUUUUCUUUUUUAAAUUUGAUUAUUUUUAAUUUUGGAAGCUAGUGUUUUUUAUUUUUGUUGAGAGAGCAUAUUUGAAAAAGGAGAUUAUUUAAAAAAAAAGUAUUUUUGGCAUUAAAGACAAUAUAAUUGGAAAAAAAAUAAGAUGAUUUUGGAGGGGUCAUAUAUUAUAUACAAUAUAAUACACGGGUGGGAUAUUUCUACCCAAUUAUUUGUAUAAACCCAUCCCACUUCUAAAAAAUAUUUAUAAUAAAUACACAUUUUUCUAAUAAAUAAAAAUCAACAAAAAAUUAAUGUAAUUAAUCAAUUAAAUCGUUCUUAUAUUUUUUCUUUUUUUUUACUAUUAAAGUAGCUUUAAUAUAAGUUCUAUUUAAUUAUUUUGCUUUAUGACAUAAAGUGACCCAUUGGGCCAAAAAAAAUUUGUUCUUAUAUCUAAUACUUUAGGUACUUAAUUUUGUGACUUAGAAUCUACCUUCUUAAAUGAAUCCUAAUAAUUUUCAACGUUUUACAUGUAAAUGACAUAAAUUUGACAGCCUAAUAAUUUAAUGAGUAUUUUCUCAUAAAGACAUUAUGCCAGUUUAAUUAAAAAUAGUCCAUUUAAAUUUAGGUUUAAGUAAUCUUAUUAGUCCCAUAUAAAAAAAAACUAAGUUACAACAAAAUAAAUUAAGAUAGAUUUAAUUGAUUAAUUCUUUUAAAUUCUUCUUUAUUUGAAAUUUUUAAAAAUAAUGAAAACUUUUUGAAAUUAUUUUCUAAAAGUGGGGUGGAUUUGUAGAAUUUGUGGGGUAAAAAUAUCAUCACCCAUAAUACACAUGUCCAUAUAAAGAGAGUUAACACAUAAAAGUUGUAUAAAUAAGUUCAAAUAGGGCCCAACACAGAAAAUUAAACUAAUCCAAGCUUUUUUUUUUUGAAUUAAAGUAAUCAGGGGGUUGAAAAAAGAAACUUUGCAUAAAUAUGCACAAACUAUAAAGUGAUGUGGUAUGAAAAUUGUGAUUGAAUUAAGCAAAUGGGCAAUGUUAUAACUAUUAAUUCUUUUGUACUAAUUGAUGUGACACUAUAUGAGUGGUUAAAUGAAUACAUCACCAAGCUUAUUUUUAUUAUUUUAUAUUUUUAUUCAACUAAUUCUUAUGUUAUAUUAGUUUGUAUAAAAAAUAAUUUCUAUAAAAGUUUGUAGUUGUAACAUUACUCAAAAAGUUAUAUGGCUUACAAAAAUUUUUUCAUUAAGGUUGUGGCUAUUUGAACCUCAAAAUUCCUCAACAUACCCAUACUUUUAUAAAAAGUUUUAGUACUAAAUUAUCUGUAAACAAAAUUAUUAAUAAAGACAUAAUACUGAAAUGAUUUUUUUUAUCAUAUUUAAGAUCUCUUACUUUAAUUGGUCUAAACAAGAGAAAUCGAAGUGAAAAAUUGAUUCUGAUAUUAGAAAUAUGCCAGCUAAUUAUGAGAAAUUGGACUCAGAUUUACAAAUGGGUAAUUUCUUGAUUUUGGCAUGAUACGGCAAAGUAGCAAACAUGCUUAAGAAAACGAAAUGUGCAUAAGAGAAUGAUAUCAUAUUGGUUGCUAUAAGGUCCGCCGUUUAUUCAUACGAUAUUUCCAAUCUAACUAAUUUAGGAUGUAAAAUUGAAAUGUAUUUAUGACCACACCUUUUGCCUUUUGGCAAAUUUUCCGUGCCCGUUCAUUUCGAAUUCUGGACCAUCAUUUGAAAUUUCCGCGUCAUUGACUGCUAUGGUUCCGUAAGUGGACUUGCGAUUAGCCUGAGUUACUAGGCACUUAUCACUAAAUCACAUAACGUGACUUAGUUGCCUGCUUCAUGGGAAUAAUUGGUGACCUGUUUGCUUGUUUGAUUGAGUUGGGGGGAGAACACAAAAAACAAAAUUUUGUUUCAUUUGAUCAAUCAUUCAAGAAUCCAGGACUGAGAGCAAACUCGGAACUGUAGAAAACGAAGAAUAUAGAAAUUGAGGUCCCGAGAAAUUGAGAGCAAAAUAGAUAAAGAAGGAUCGGAAAAGAACAAGCUAGAAAAAUUAAAAUGGAAGACAGAAAUGCCGAGAAAAGAGAUAAAAAUAAAUAAAAAGACUAGAGAACAAAAAUGCAUUAGAGGAUUAAAAUGAAAUAAUGUAAAUUAGAGGGUAAAAAUAUUUUUUGACGUUCGAGAAUUCAUGUUUUAGCCUUGAGUGGGGUUAUUUAAACUCACCAAUUUCUCCUUUGUGCCUUAUUUUUUAAAUUAAAAUAUUAAUUAUCAAAUUAAUUUUGAUAAAAUUAUCUAAUUAACCCCUCUUCUCUCUCUCUCUCUCUCUCAAUUCCUGAUCAGCUCUAAUAAAUUCUUUCGACUUUCUCGUCUACAAAUGAAUGUGAAAUCUUACAAAUACUUGAAAUUAAUUUUCCUAUAGGCUAUAACCAAUAUCAAAUCAAGGCUUGGUGGCUCGAAUUCCUUCAAGACUAGGGUUCUCAGGGCCAAAGGGGUUUGCAUGCUUCGCUUAGAAAUUUUAGAGGCUGAAUAACUAAACUCAGCAAACCAUUUGGCUCACUGAUCUUAUUCAAAAGCUCUUCGACCAACAGCUUAAUAAUAAAACUAUUCUUUCUUCAAUUUAUAGGAACAAAUCCACCAUCCAAAAAUGAGUAUCAAGAAUUUUAAGUAACCACGAAAGCAACAAAUUUUUUGUUUUUCCCAAAAAUCUGUGUAAAGUUACAAAUCUUUGCAUUAAAUUGAAAAUAAAUUAAAAAAUCACAAUUCAAAUGCCACAAAUAAAAUGUAGUGGAAUUUAUGAAAAAAAAAAUCCAUGGCCAAAGAGAGUGAAACCAUAAGUUUUUAAUUUGCAAAAAGUGAUGUUGAGAGAGAACAAGCACUGUAAGAAAGAGAAGGAAAUUAAUGGGCAAUUUUAAGAUUUUAAAAUUUUAAUAAUUAUUAUAUUUUUAUGAUGGGUGUAAAAAAAAAUUUAGUGGUUUUAAAUAAUCCCAUCUUUAGCUUUUAGUACAGACAUAAGUUCUUUUAUCACUCCUAACUGUUAAUCUUUUAACCAUACAAUUAAGAAAAGUUUGCAAAGCAAAGAAUCCAUGGAAGAGUCAGAAUCAAACCAGUGGAGACUCUCAAGAUUUUUUUUUCCCCUAGUUAAUCAUAAAAAUAUCAUCGGAACUAUCAAUUUGCAUUAUUAGAUUGGAAGAUUGUGACACAUUAAUAUAAGUCGAACUCGUGGAUAAUUUUGGAGGAAAAUAAAUUUAGCUACCUACUUCAUGCGAAUUGACGACCUGUUUUCCUGUUUGAUUGCGUAUCAAAAAAAUGGAAAUUUAUUUCAUUUUCAAGCAUUCAAAAGAAUCGAGAGACUGAGAGCAACUUAGAAAAGAUAAAAGAGGAAGAAAGUAGAAAUUGAGGUCGACAGAAAUUAUAGAGAGUAAAAUAGAUAGAGAAGGAAAGGAAAAAAUGAAAAUGAAAGAAAUAAAGACCGAGAGACAAAGAGGAAAAAAAGAAGUUAUCAAAAUAUGUAUUGGAUGGUUAUAAUAACAUCGUAAAUUAGAGGGCAAUAGAUUUAUAAAUUUUGAGAAUUUAGUUGUUAUAGUUCUCACUAUUAAAUUUUGAACUCUACGGAGAAGUUUUAAAACAAUCAAUCCGUGAUUAUUCAAGAUUCGGUUACAAGAGCGAUACACUUUUUAUUUUUUAUUUUUUCAUUUUGAGUAGCACUAUUGGCCCUUCAAUAAUCCUUAUUAAGACCCCUGUUUUUUUUGGUUCUUACAACUUAAACCACAUAUGAAAUUACUUUAAAAGACAAAUAAAAUUCUAAUGAAAAUCAUGUAGACUGCACAAUUCUCUUCUACGAGCCCAUUUAAAAUAACGGGAAAAAAUAUUCAAAAUAAAAGAGAGAAAAAAAAAUAAGUAACAAAGAUUUGUUAUGUAAAACAUAAAAUGGUCCACGAAAUUAUUUUCAUUAAAGUGGGGUUAUUUAAGCCCACAAAAUUUCUUUAAACACCCAUAUUUUUGUAGAAAAUUUUAUAUUAAAUUAUCGGUUAACAAAAUUAUUAAUAAAUAGGUAAUACUGAAAUGAUUUUUUAUUUAUAUUUUUAGUCUUUAAUUUUAGGUGUGAAUUUUUUUUUUUCUGAUAACAGAAAUAUGCCAGGAUAAUUAUGAGAAAUUAGAUUCAACGUAAUUAAUUCAGAAUUGUAGAACUAAAAAAGUAUAUAAGACAACACCUAUCCCUUUCGGCAAGAAACUAACCUCGGGAGGAAAAUGGAGAGCCUGAGACCAAACUAGAAAUGAUAGAAGAGGGAAAUAAAUAGAAAUUGAGGUCGAGAGAAAUUAUAGAGAGGCAAAAUAGAUAAAGGAGAAUAGAAAAAGAAAAAGAAAAAGAAAAAGUGGAAGAAAGAAAGGCCGAUAGCAGUGGUUAAAAAAAAAAAUUGUUAGAUGGUUAAAAUGAAAUACUGUAAAUUAGAGGGUAACAAAAUUUUCUGAUAAAUAAAACGUAACAGUACUAAUAAAAAGAGACUUCAUACAACUAUAUAUUAAAUGUCAGAGAUCCAAUAGCAAGUUGUAAGUAUCUUAAUUAGCUAAAUUACACUUUCCACUUCUCUUUUUUUUACAUUUUAAAAAAUAUGUUCAAAUCCACAGGCCAAAGUAUCUUCAUUCUAGAUUUAAUUUUUGUAAUGCCUAUCUGAAAAAUUUUCUCCAUAAAAAAUUUUCUUUAUAGUUUUCACGAGGCCUAAAAUACUUUGUGCAAGGACAACAAAUUACAUUCCUUCACUUUCCAUUUAUUUAAUUUGAAAUUGAGUUAUUCGUUUUGCGAAUCAAAGAUAUUGUACAAAAAAUUGGGCUGCUGGUCCAGCAGAGACUUUCUUAUUUUGUUGGUCAAGAGAUUUCAUUGGCCCUGAGAUUAACUUUGGUCUAAUUGGUAGGCUAAGUAGACAAUGAAUAGAAAUUGUCAAGACAUGAAGCCCUCAAACUACUAACAGUACUAGUGUUUAUUCAUUUGUAUGCAUAUUGGUUCCUGUUAUUCCCAGCUUGUUCCCGCCAUGUUUGUGCAUAAGGCUGCUGCUCUUGUUCAAAAGUUCAGUCACGAAACGAAAACGUUAUUGAACUUGCUUGAAAGAAAAAAUUAGGAAUUUUUUAAUUAUAAAUAGAGGAAUCCCUCACUAUGUGCAUAUGCGAACUACAGCAUCCUGAGAAUAUAUUGAAGGGUAAAAUGGGUAGGAUCACAUACUACACUAACUUAACAAGAUUUUCAAGCAAGUGCAACAAAGUAUAACUCCAAAUACUGUAAGAAACAAUAGAGGAAAGAAUUCUUAAAAACCAAGUUCAUGUGUGUCUUAUACUUAACUCAAAUUCAGUCCAAUUGAGGUUAAAGCUUAAACCAGUCGCAAAACAGCAGAUCCGAUGGGUGAGCUGCGAGCUGCGUCGAUGACAAUGGUUGUGGCUGCAUUGGUGACUAUGGGUUGGCUCUAUGUCUACCGUGCCGUCUUCGAUCAUUAGUGCUGUCAGCUACCACUUUUCUUUUGCAUUGUGUGUGUGAAAAGAAGAAGAGAUUUGUUCGUAGUCGUGUGUGCUGUGCGUGUUUCAAUUUGAUUGUUUUUUGUUAUAUUUUGGAAUGGCUAAUUAUAAGAACUAACUCAAUACUUCAACCUUUAAUUAAUCAAGAUCGAAUUGAAACAAGAUUGAUAAAGAUCUGAGUAAAGAGCAGAAAAACAGAACAAGAUUUCAGAGAACUAGCUAACAGACUUGAAGGAAAAAUUCACACUCUUUCAUUCAUCAAAACUGAGUACAAAACCGAUCACAAAUGAAGAGAAGAUUACAAGAAUCACGUGUGUAGAAGAAUUAUUCUAAUUGGGGAAGAAAUGAGUGAAAAAGAGCUUAUAUAUCAGAUGCUACAAGCUAGCUUCACGUUUUUGGAAAAUUUCCAGAAACCAUAUAACGAACUUUAACAACUCAGGCCACGUCAGCAGAAAUUUACAAAUACAUCCUUCAACUGAAUGCAAUCUGCACAAUGACCCAUGCAACUCUCAUGUGAUUUCACUUUAGUCCCAAAAAUCAGUUAAUCACUUAUCUAGAUUUUUUAAAGUUAUGGUGAAAUGAUGCCAUUUCAUAUGGUGAAACGAUGUCGUUUCACUUAUCUAGAAACGACAUGUCCUUUUUAUCAUUCUACAUAGGAUGACAUAUUGUUUUAUAUGGGAUGACAUGCAGUUUUAUAUAGGACAACCUGUCAUUAUUUAUAGGAGCUUCUUUUAUUUUAAAAGAUCAUAUUACUCUUUUGAUGUCAUCACUUACAAACGGCAACUAACGGAUUAAUGGUUGACAUACAAUUUUUGUUACUUAAAGUGAAUGAUUGAUACACUCUUAAAAUGUUAUAAUAUUUUUAAUAAUAUUAUAAAUUUAAGACAUAUGAAUGAUAAUUUCCAAAAAAAGAAAAAAGACACUUCAUUGAUCUACAGUGAUCCUACUGAAUUCUAAAGAGAAGAAAGUACAGUAGAGAUGCCUGGGCUUAACUUCAUCAAAUGCUAAUGUGCAAUUAACCCGUGCGAGCUAUAACAAAUAACUCUUUUAGAAUUUUCUCCCGCGGUUAGAUUUGGUACUUCCAACUAACACAAUAACAGAUAACUUGUAAAAUCGGGUGGUAUGAAAGCCCUCUAGAGCCCAAAUCUUUAGUUCCCCUUGUUUGGACUUUGGACCUUCUUCACUCUGGGGGGCUUUUGGCAACAAGUCCACAACGUAACGCCCACUAGAUCACCCGUAUACUGGAAAAUUUAAAAAAUAAAAAAUAAAAUGAAGUGUGAAUCCAACAAUCAAGUGACGUCUCCAAAUUAACGUGAGAAAAUUGUAGAGCAACAAGCAUCGAACUCUCAGUAAGAGUGAGUCGCACUGUUAUUAACAAAACAAAACAAAAACGAAACAAAACAUGCUCUCUGUCAAGUGUCUCUCUGAUCAAAAUUAAUUUUCCAUUUUAAUUAUUAUAAUCACCAGAUCAAAUCGAAAGGAACCAUAAUAUUUAUUCACCAAUUUAAUGUUAGGAAAUUGAGCUUCCUCCCAAGAUCACUCCAAACAAUUUGUCAAGCAACAAACUAAUAAGAAAAAUAUUAAAUAGAGAAUACAUCAAUCACACAGCACAAGAUUUACGUGAAAAACUCUAAAUUCGGAGAAAAACUACGGCCGUUGUCACAAGACAACCAGAAAAAAAAUAUUCACUAUAUGAAAAAUUAUUACAACCACAUUUUUAGAAAUAAUUUUCUCUCACCCAAGCCCCAAAUAUAUGAUCCCGAGAAAUAUUCUUCAACAAAACAAACUCGUAAUACCCAUAUUGAGGAGCCAAAUACUCCUUCAAUAUAACUACAUGCUUAAGAACAUUUCUCUCUCUCAAUUUCUCAUCAAAACUUGGAUACAAAAGUGAGGAGGAGCACCCUCUUAUUUAUAACCAAACGGAAGCACUAUUCAAACCGCGUUAUUGUUCAUGCCGGGUUACUGUUCACCGCGUGGUCAAACCUUUUUUUUUUUAAUCAAUUUUCAACAAUCUCCACCUUGAUUAAAAAAAAAUUUCAUAGCUACUGCUACAACACACUGUCUUCACCAACAAUCAUAAUUCUCAACAUAGAGAAUUAUCAUACUCCACCAUAAAAAAAUAUACUACUUAGAAUCAGCCAUUUUAAGAUUUUUCUCUGCACAUGUCAAACAUAUCCGCUGAACAUUAUGGUGCAAUUCUCAAUGUUUGGUUCCCUGAGAAUUCUUCAGCCAUGACAUAACUUUUCCACCACACACCUUGCAUUUAUACCAAGCCAAUGCCUGCGUGCAAACUUGUAGACCUCGCUGAUAAUAACAUGUUCUCUUUCAUGGCAACUUGGAGAUCUACAUGCCGAAAGAACUAACUCAGUCUCUUAUCAAAAGGAAACUCACCAUCUGCGAGAAUAUCAGUAUCUCUUUUUACUGAUUAUGGAGCAAUUUGCCGAUCCCGCUCCACCUUCUUGACAAUUUCCUUAAGGUGCUAAAUUGCCACACCUUCAAAUCUUUUUGCAUACUAGAUUGGACAAAACUUUGACUUGAUUUCUCCACAAGCCAAAAAAUCAUUCUCCCAUUAAUUUUUAUAUUUCAAAUUUCACCGGAUUUGAAAAUUUCAAUCCUGACAUAUUUACUUUGCAGAUAAGCUUUUACUCUUCACCGCGGACUAUUUGGAUUGGCUCCCACUGCUUCACGUGAACAGUAUCGUAUACAUGAAUAAUAUCAUAUACGUGAAUAGUACCGUGUACGUGAACAGUGUCCCGACACCAGAAUUUCAACUAAUGGCUCUGAUACCACUGUUAGGAAAUUAAGCUUCCUCCCAAGAUCACUCCAAGCAAUUUGUCAAGCAACAAACUAACAAGAAAAAUAUUAAAUAGAGAAUAUAUUAAUCACACAACACAAUAUUUACAUGGAAAACUCUAAAUCCGGAGAAAAACUACGGUCGUUGUCACAAGACAACCAGAGAAAAAUAUUCACUAUAUGGAAAAUUAUUACAACCACAUUUUCAGAAAUAAUUUUCUCUCACCGAAGCCCUAAAUACAUGAUCUCGAGAAAUAUUCUUUAACAAAGCAAACUCGUAAUACCCAUAUUGAGGAGACAAAUGCUCCUUCAAUAUAACUACAUGCUUAAGAACAUUUCUUUCUCUCAAUUUCUCAUCAAAACUUGGAUACAAAAGUGAGGAGGAUCACUCUCCUAUUUAUAACCAAACGGAAACACUAUUCAAAAUCGUGUUACUAUUCAUACCGCGUUGUUGUUCAUGCCGCAUCACUGUUCAAACUGCGUGGUCAAAUUGCGUUACUGUUCACCACUUGGUCAAACCUUUUUCUUUUUUUAAUCAAUUUUCAACAUUUAAGAAACAAUGUCAUUCCCUCUUUUUAACCCUAGAUCAAAAUUCACAAAUGGCUUAUCAAAAAGCUCGAGAGCGCGACAUGCUGGACUCUAGGGGUGGGCAAAAUCGGGUUCGGGUCGGGUUCGGGUCAAUUCAAUCGGAUUUCGGGUUGAUUGGGUUGGUUAAAAAUUAAUCCGAAUGAAACCCGAAUUAUAGACCCGACCCGAUAGUUCGGAUCGAGUCGGGUCGGGUCAACGAUGCGGGUUAAAUUCGGAUAGGAUUGGGUUCGUAUGUAAUCAAUUUUGAAAGCUUCAAAAUCUUGUUCGGGUCACAAAGUCAGAAAGGGCAGACCGGCAAAGCCAAAAACUCGGGUCGGGUUGGAGCUUGAGCCUUGGAGCAGCAGAUCGGUGCCCACGGCAGCAGAUCGCAGACGAGUUUUCAGCAGUAGAUGGGCACACGUGCAGCGGUAGAUCGCGACAGCUGAAUGCACAGCAGCAGCUCGCGACGACUAGUCGGAGAGGCAACAACAGAUCCGGGACUGGAGAGGGUUGUGUGUGUGAGUGUUGUGGCUGUGGGUUGUGUGUGUGAGAUCGUGAGGGUUGCAAACUUGCAGAGGGUUUGUUGUAGUUUGUUUGUAAUUUGUAUUUUGCGAUUUGUGAAUCUGUUUGUGUUUAUGAAAUUGUGACUGUGAGUGUGCCCGUGUGGUGUGUGCGUGUGUUUAGGUUAGGUUUAGUUUUUUUUUUUUUUAUAACCCAAUCGGGUUUUCUGAUCGGGUCGGUUUUACCCGACCAGAUCAAAACCCGAUCGGGUUUAUAAAAUUUCAUCCUAUCGGGUUUCAUACACAACCCGAUCAGAUCCGAUCCGAACCCGAAAAGUUUCGGGUCAGAUCGGGUCGGGUCGGGUAUUUUGCUCACCCUUAUUGGACUCCCUCUACUCGAUGCUAGCGCUCAUCUUCAUACUUGCCGCUUGCGUCGAGCUCUGUGACGUUGCCACCAUUGUCGACAUCUAUCGUCUCAUUCAAUACGACAUCUCCGGCGUCCCAUUUGGAUCUCGGCUGGCGAGCCUCAAUCACCACACCGGCUUGCUCCAUUUUUCGCCCGGCGCGGACCAGUCACGAACCGUUGUUGUGAUUCCGGUUCGCGAAUUGAACAUUAGCUUGUCAGAGGUAUUUUUAUUUAGUUUUUUAACGAUUGUCAUUGCUAAAUAUAAAGCUUUUGUGAGUUAAGAUUUAUGAGAUUUUCUAUUUUCUAUUCAAACACAUCCAAAUUGAUUUUUUAUUCUUAUAAGUUCUAAUCACUUGCGUAAAACAAAAGUAAUUAAUUAACAAUAAACAACUACGUAUAUGUAUACAUCUUCUUCUACACGGUACUAUAACUCUUAUCUCAUUAACAAUUCCAUUCUUGUUAUCUAAAACACUUUGAACGCCCAAAAAGCUGCAAGCAUGACAAGUCCACUAGCAAGACAAACAUUAUUCAAUACCCUUUCUGCCCUUUCCUUUUUCUCUUUUCUAUCAAUUUUCCUCAUCAAAAACUCCUCAUAUCUCUCUUUCACUUCCUCUCUCCUCCCAUUCUUUCUCUUCCCACUCUCCAUAACCCCUUGCAAAAUUACCAAACCAUCAUUCCCACUCAAAUUCCUCCCCUCCAUGUCUUUCAUUUGCAUGUUCACUUCUUUCACAGUUUCACGCAUAACAUUUCCUCACCUUUCUUUCCCCUUCCCCCAGGUGUCACCAUCACUUCACACUCCAUGCACUCCCUCGCCGGAAACAAUCCCCACCGUUGAUUACCACCUGCGGCGAUCACCACCGCAUAUUUCACGUGCAAGUCACUUGUCAACCAGCCUUGUCGCACGGAAACCGGCAACCGGCUGGAUAAGUUCACCGCCCGGUUUCUGCUAGAGUCGAUUAUUAUCCAACUCAAUGUCAAGUUCUUUUCAAGCUCUUCAAACAGAAUAUUUGCUUCACUCACAAAGGGUAUCUUCGUCGGAACGGAAUCUUUCGCGUCGACCAGGUCAAUGCUUAAAGGUGGGAACUGAAACCAGCCGGUUACUGUCUCAUUCUCUGCAACCCUAGAGAAGACGGGAUCGUUUCUGUAGUAAAGAUCAACGGCCGAGAUUAUCUGUUCGGUGACAAGUAAAGAAUCAUCAUCAUGAAUGUGUUUUGAGGGUUCUUUUUGGCAACCAAGAACCGGGAAUGAGUGAGAGAAAAAAGACCGGUGACCACCUCCGGGGUAGGAGGAGACGAGGGUUCGCACACGUGGGUCGUUAGAGGAAGGCCACGUGGAGGAGCAGAUAUGUUGCCAGAGUUUUUCUUGUGCACAUAGAGAGUGUAGACGAGAUGAAGUGCAAGCUGCGGCGGCAAGAGUUUGGCCGUCGAGUCGGGUUAAGAUAUGAGUCUCAAUGAUGUCGGGAAGCAACGUUGUGAUGCCUUGAUGGCUUGUAAAUUUUGUGGGACAAGGAGAAGAAGCCAUUGCUUCUUAAUUUUUUACCUCAAAAUGGAGUUUGAAUGUUGGGUUCAUUUAUAAGCAAACGAGUUAGGCCUAAUCGGUCUAAUAACAAUGUUGAAACAAAUAAUGAUAAAAGGUGGAUCAGUUUUAGAAAAUGUUAUUCUUUGGUUAAUCCAAUCAUAGGAUAAGUUGUUGAUUCGCUUUAAUGUAAUGAGAAAGAUUUAUGAAUUAAAUUCUAAAAGUCAAGGUUGGUAGGCUAUAGACAAAUGCAUAAAAGAUAGAAAAAGGGAAUUUCCAGGCAGUGGAUGAAAAAGAACAAGGACCUACAUUCAUAAACAUUUCAUUAAGAAAGGAAUAACAGUCGACGUUUUUUUUUUUUCUUUUCCCUCUCAAUCUUUUAGAUUUAAAAAAAAAAAAAUUUAUGGGCCCUAAGGCGUGUGGUGGAGUGUUUUUUAAGUAAUUUAAUUUAAUUAAUCACUUGAGUUCAAAUUCUGAGAAAAGUAGAGAAAUGAAAAUUGAUUUAAAAUUUAUCUUAUUCUCUACCUUUAAAAAGAUUAAAUAUAUAUAUGUAUGGUAGUUUAUAAAAAAAUUUGUGCUAUUUUUUAUAUUUUUUCUUAUAAAUACAAAAUACAAUAGUAAGAUAAGAGGAUUCUUAAAAUGAUUUUCAGGUAGUUUUUCUUUGAUUAAACCUAUGUUUUGAGGGCGGAUAAAAGCCUAAAAAGUCAUGAAUCUAUAGGUUUCGUCAACUUCCCCAAUCUUUUUUUCUUUUUCUUUUAAAAAAAUCUGUUAGCGAUCUACUUGUUUUGUCAAUAAAUAAUAAAAUGAAAGCUUAUAAGAAAAAAAAAUUCAUUUGUAUAAAACCUUUUUUUAAAUUAAAGAAAAGCACUUUCAAUUUUUUUUUUUUUGGAAGUCUAAUGAAGUCAUUGCGAUUGAUUGUCACUACCUGCAAGAUAUCAUAACGUGUGAGUUGUGACCAAGACCUUAUCCUCUCAGGAAAGUUGGAUGAAAAUGUUUGCUACAAGGAACAGAUCAACGUCACAACACAAGUUGGGAUAUUCUUUUUUAAUUCACUUGUAAUAAUUCUAUUUAAAAAAGAAACAAAGAGAAAUAUUGUGUUGUUUUUCUUUCAGUACUCUGGUGAGAGGUAUUCAUUGCCAUGACGUGGCUUAAAUUUAGUAAAUAAACAAUUCUCUGUAAAAGUGAUGCUACAAUUAUGUAAUAGGUGACUCAAAGUUACGUUAAGCGUAACUUACGUUUUUUGUCUUUUUCUUUUGGCUAAUUUCACUUAAGUCCUUAUAUUCUUUAUGUUUUAUGUUUAUGGAUGUAUUUGCCUUCUUCUAUCAAUUAUACAUCUAUUUUUCAUUCUUUCCAGGGUUCUUUUUAUUUCUCUAAAUAAUAACAUAUGAUUAUCAAAUUCAUAUAAAUCUAUGAAUUCAAAUAUGUAGAUACACCAGUGGUACAUUUAACCAAGCACAGGUAAAUUAUCCUGUACAUGAAAAAGAACUACUUGCAAUAUACAAAGGAACAAAAAAGUUUUCAUUAUUCUUAUUACAAAAGCAAUUUAUAAUAGAGACAGAUAACUCUCAGGUAAACUCAUUGAUAAAUAGAAUUUUGCCAAACGAACCUCAAUACAGAAGGUUACAUAGAUGGUAGGCUUAUUUGUCAUAUUACAAUUUUAAAAGGUAUAUCGGCGGGAAUCCAUCGACGUAAGUUCCGGAGAUGAACCCGAAUGGGCAUUAGUCCGGUCCGUAUUGAUGGGGAUCUAACAAUUUCCUUGCAGAUUUUUUAAGCAAGAACAUAGAAUUUAGAGAUGAAUCCAGAAGUAAAUAAAAUUCUUUCUGGAAUAAAUGCCGAAUUACAUAGAUUGGCAACAGAAGCAUCAGACAUAAUCGAUGCCAUAAAUUAUAUUAAAGAGGCUUCAGAAGCCUAUGAAAAAGGAGUCCAUUUGUUGGGAUCAUACUUAAACGACCUGACAAAAGCACUCUCAAUAAACAAUGUGCCAGUUAGCACCAGCCCAAUGGAUACAGGAAGCAGUGGUGGACCCCUUAGAGACCAUAAACCAAUCUCUGAUCCUGCUCCUAGCCAAACCAUAUCCAUAGAAGUUGAUCCUCCAAAACCAAGUCCAUCUAAGAAAUACAUCCAAAUAAAUAAUCCCUAUAUUAAAAUGUAGGCUUAAAGUUUCGUCUAUAUUUUUAUCUUUUAUGUGCACACAAUAUCUAGGGUGACAUGUGAAUAAUAGCUUAGUAUAACAUAGGUUUCCUUCUGUCUUUUUAUUUUUCUUUUGUCCUUUUUUCAUUACAGACAUUUCUAUUUUUAUUUUUCCUACUUCCUGUUUUAUUUCUUUUAGUUCUUCCUUAAGAUUUAAAAGUAUCUCUUUUAAUUCUCUUAAUGUGGUUUCCAUUAAAUCUAAGGAUACUUAUUGAAGUUUUACUUAUUCGGAUGUAUGUUACGUUGCAUGUAACAUAGGUUUAGCCUUAUGUAAUUGGGAUAAAAGGCGUUAAUAUAUUGCUUGUAUUUAAAGGGUGUGUUCUGCACACUGUAUUAUAUUCUACUGUAUUAUAUUAUUUUAAUACAAAUGUAUUAUAUUAUACUACAUUACAUUAGUAAUGUAUUAUAAUAAUAUUGUAUAAUGGUUUGUAUUACAUUGUAUUGCAUUAAUUUUAUUGUGAUUAAUUUAAAUUAUACAUUUAGAAAAUAAUAUUUUUUAGUACCUAGAAAAAUAUUAAGUAUAGAAGUUUUAAAUUUUAAAAAUUUAACAUUAUUUUUAGUAUAAAUUUUAAAAAAUAUCAUAAUUUUUUCAUAAAGAUCGAAGCUUAUAACUUUACAUUUUUGGCAACAUAACAUUCAUUUUUCACUAUUUUCUAAAUAUAUAAUGUGUAAAAUAAAGAUCAAAGGAUAUAAUUUAAUCAAAUAAUCUCUAAAUAAUAUCAUAAUCUAAUAAUGUUUUAUAUUAUUAUUUUAUUGGUAUUAAUUGUAAAUUAAUAUUAUUUAAAUUUAUUCAUUUACAAAUAUUUAUUAUUAGUUAUAUUAAAUUAUUAUUUAAGUAAUUAUUAUUAGUUAUAUUAAAUUGUUAAAUAAUAAUAAAUUUUAUAUAUUAAUUAUUAUAAUAUAAUUUUAUAAUAUAAUAUUAUGUUAUAUUUUUUUUAUAUACUAUUUAAAUACUUAUUAUUAGUUAUAGUAACUUAUCAAAUAUUAAUCAAUUUUAUUUAUUAAUUAUUAUAUAAUUAAAUAAUACAUUAUUUUGUUAUAUUUUUAAUAUAAUGAAAAUUAAAAUAUGAAUAAUAAAUAAUAAAUUUAUUAAUUUAUAUUAAUAAUUAUGAUGUAAAAAUAAAAGAAAAUAAAAAUUAAUAUCAUAUUAAAUUAAAAAGUUAUAUUUAUUUAUUAUUAUUUAUUAAAAAAAAAAAAGCAAAAGCAAAACACUAAUAUGGCAACUACCGCAUUAGCUAAACCCAACUCCGCAUUAGCAUACCCCCUUUAACCCAUUACAAUUUUUUUACAAACACAACCUUGUUAUUAAGUUAAUGUGAACUGUAUUUUAAUACCCUGUAAUCCUAUGAUUCAAGCACAGCCAAAGUGAUGAACUGAGACCAGCAAAGCCAAACCAAAUGAUUUCAACGACAUAGUUGGGAUGAUAAAACAAGAAUGUUCUACCUACAGUUAUGGUUCUGGCUUAUUGACAAUCAUUCAAGCAAACUUACUUCAAGAAACGUGUAACAUGAGGGCGAUUCCCACAUUGAUGAUACAGGUACAAUUGAGGUCUUGGCCACUGUGAAAUUGCAGCACAUAGCAACAAUGGCAAGCAUUAAAUUGCAACCCAGGCUAGCAUUCCAUUAAAGACUAGAGAUGGCUGGACUUGAGAAGCAAAAUGGAAUGUUAAGCAUCAGAAACCUUCUUAAAAGAAAAGCAAGUUUCACCGUCAAAACUUAUGGAGUACACCUGAGAGUUAAGCUUCUCAAAGAAUAAUAAUCAAACUCAAUAAGAGAUGAAGAGUAGCUCAACUGAAAGAGUUUCAAAUAAUUCACGCAGCUCCAUCACAGUAUAAUCAAUCACUCAUCACCCCAAGUUGAUGGUCCACCCAAUCCAACUUCAGGUUCCUGAGACAAUUGAACUGUCAGACCCAUACCCCUGUUUUUAGAUUUCUUCUUCUUAGCAGAAGAGGUAACUAAGCCAUCAACUGAGUUGAAUUUAGAAGCUUCAUUAACCAUAUUGUCACCAUCAAAUUCAGGAUUUCCUGCAAUAUUGGCAGAGAAGAGCUCUGUGAAAGCGGCUUCUUGAUUGUCAAUAAUGUCAAGUUCUCCGUGUUUCUCCUUUGACUGUUUCUUCUGUUUCUUUUUAAAUAUGUUAUCAUCAUCGUCAACUUGAAUGUCUUUGUUUGAGUGAUUUUCACUGGUUUUCUUUCUCUUCCGCUUCAGAUCUUUCUCCAUAUCAACAUCUCUAGAACUAUUUAGAUCGCCAUCUUUGUUUCGACCAGGCACAAUGCCUCCAGAGUUCAUUGCAUCAUUAAUAGCAUCAAGCUCCCCUUCUUUCUCUUUUGACUUCUUUUUCAAUUUCUUCCCUGCUGCAGAAUCACUUUUGCGCCACUGAAUUUCUUUAUUUGAGGGUUUGUCAUUUGUUUCUCUAGUGCCAUCUCUUUUCUUUUCCAUAUGAACUUUUAUCGUGUCAUCAGCAUUAUUUGAGGAAUCAUUAACUUUAUCAACUAUAUUGUCCUUCUCAUUUUUGGUGAUUCUAUCUAUUGGUCUAGCAUUGAAUAUAUGCAAGUUUGGCAAUAGAUUUUUGACCUGCAACAAUAUUGAACAUAGAUUAAUCCAGCUAGGAGCAGAAUUCUUGAAAGAUGAUUAACAUGAUAAAAUGAUUGCGAUAUUACCUUCUUUGCCAAUUUAUCAUAUUCAGCUACAGGGUUUCCUUGUAGAUUGAGGUUAUUCAGACUGACUAAUGACUUCAGCACCUGCUAUUCGAGCAUGUUACCAUUAUGCAUGGUGACGAAGUAUAUAGAAAAAACUUGAUGAAAACAAAUAUAAAAGAAACAAAUAUUUCAAUGCCUCACCUUCAAUUCUGACCAUCUCGUGAUCAAGUUCUUUCCUAAGUCUAAAUUUUGAAGCUUCUUAUUAAAAGCCAACUCGGCCGGAAGAGUCUAGACAAUUCAGAGAGUGAGACAGAGAAAGACAACAUAAGAAAUGAACAAAAUAUCAAUCAUGAUAUUAACAAACAAAAAAAAAUAUAAUGAAUUUGAGGAUAGCCUGCUAUCAUAAAAUGACCACUGGGUACAUGAUUUACCUUAAUGUCAUUGUCAGCAAGUCGGAGUUCUUUCAAUUCUGUGCAAGACUUGAGCGAAGAACCAAUAAUCUGGACUUGGCAGUUUGAGAGAGAGAGCUGGAGCCAAUCUUGAUUAACAGCCUUAGCAACAGU